This 78605-nucleotide long non-coding RNA is filed under the name Solanum tuberosum (potato). Its description in RNAcentral is "long non-coding RNA (STUB_LNC004349)". The record is from RNAcentral. Lineage: Eukaryota; Viridiplantae; Streptophyta; Magnoliopsida; Solanales; Solanaceae.
UAGUUGUGAAAAGCUCCAGAAAUUGUCGUUAGGUGGGAGAUUAGAGAAACUGCCUGUGUUUCCAGAUUCCAUCACAAUGAUAGUUAUUUGGCAGUCAAGACUGACAAAAGAUCCGAUGCCUAUUUUGGGAAUGUUGCCAAACCUAAGGAAUCUCCACUUGUCCAGAGCUUAUGAAGGAGAAGAAAUAAUGUGCAGUGAUUACAGCUUCAGUCAACUAGAGCUCCUUCAUCUUUAUGGUCUUGACAACUUAGAAAGAUGGCAUUUAGGCACAAAUGCCAUGCCUCUCAUUAAAGAUCUUUCUAUCUAUAAUUGUCAAAAGCUGAAGGAGAUUCCAGAGAGAAUGAAACACGUGAAGCAUUUCAAACAUAUACGAAGUCUUAUAUGAUUAUAGGAAAGGUAAAUAUACAAACACAUUCCAAUCCUUCAUUUUUUUCUUUUUUAUAUAAAUAAUAAUAUUUUUGUUAAACAGGAGAUGAAGACAUUCAAGUUGAUGAAGAUGGGUUGUCCAUGCAUCAAUCAAGUUUCCGUCACUUUACUGAUUUUGUGAUUCUAUGCAAAAAUAAGGAUUUUUUUGGUUUUUGGCUUCUUUUUUUUUUAGUGUGUGGAAUUGGUUGGAAGAAAUUUUUUUUUUUUUUGUGUGUGUGUGCGGCGGGGGGGGGGUGGGGGGGGGGGGGGGGGGGGGAUUGUAUGCAAAAAUGAUUUUGUGAUUAUUUAAUUAAUAUACAUCUAGUACAAUAAUAUACAAAACUUUUAUAUUUCUUUUUUACAAAAAUAUUGUAAAACUUGAUAUACAAUAUUUAUACACGAUAUUAUACGAAAUCAUAAGAGGUAUUUAUACACAUUUAUACAAUCAUAUAUAUAUAUAUAAAAGAGAACUCUAUGUCCGCCUACGUAGCGUCAUCACAAACCAGGAUUUCCUUUUAAUUUAUUUAUUUACAAAACUAGCAUUCCCCUUACAUGAAAAGAUGUGACUUUUAUGAAGAGUUGCAACUUUUAUGAAGAGUUGCGACUUUUAUGAAAACCUGUGACUUUUAUGAAAGGUUGUGUUCCUUCCGAAGGGUUGUAACUUUUCCAAAGAGAUGUGACCUUUCCGAUAAGCCACAAUAAAUAUUUGUUCACACUACCCUUUGUUGUCUAUAAAUAGAGGGAUAUCCUCUCAUUUUAAAACAACGAAAAUUUUGAACUUCUUCUUCUUCUGCACAAUUAAAUAUUAUUUUUGUAUCAAUACACUGGUGAAUAGAAUCGUUCUAUCCUGAGAGGAUCUAUUCCUUUAAACCUCGGGUACUAGAGGGGAAUAAUUUUCUUAAAGGAACACUAUGCAUUUAAUGGGCUCAAUUUUUUCCAGUAUGUUUCAUUCUAUUGUUACAGAUCCUGGUAUGUUUGUUUUAAACUUUGUUGUUUAUGUUACUGCAAAGUUAUUGUUAGUACAGAUUAAAUAACACACAUUAAUUGAGUAUUACUAAUCAUGCAAGUUUUCUCUACUGAAAUUGUAAUUUCAAAUUGAACUUCAUCACUCUGGUAUGUUGAUUUUUUAAAAACAACCAAAUAAACUGAAUAGUUUUAUGUAAUAUUUUCCCUUUCAAGUAUAUAUAAUAUAAGGAAAAAUUACAGAAAUCUUACCUUUUAGUUUACUUAUUACCAUUAUCUCCUAUAAGUUUUACAAAUCUCCAAAAUCCCUUAUUUUCGCGCAUCAGAUUAGUGUAUCUCGCGCAUCAGAUUAGUAUAUCAUGUAUAAAAUAAUAAUAAGGUGGAGACAAACAACUUAUUCUUAAAAAUUAAGCAAUGCAUAUUAUUUUGAAUAUUGACAAAUCAAAGAAGCAAUAAAAAUUUAUCUGACAUAACUAAUUCCAGCAUAACUUGUUUUCGAAUCAACUGACAACGUAUUUGGUAUGAAGAAAAAUGUUUUCCAAAGCAACAUGUUUUCCUCAAAUUUAAGAAAAAUGACUUACCUCCAGAAAAUUAGGAAAACAUUUUUCAGAACUCUUUUUCUACCUCACACCUAAACUUUUCACCCUAACUCAAGUCUCGAGUUAUUCUCAAUACAAAUUCGGGAUCUGACUCCUGAUUCUUGAUUCGGGACCAGACUCUCGACCUCAAUUCGAGACCCGACUCAGGAGAUGGAUCUAAGUCAAAUUCUAAUUUCGGUGUCGAGUCCCAGGUCAGGAUUUGAGGUCGAAUCUUGGAUUGGAUGUCGGGGUUUAUUCCCAAGUCAGGUGUCGGUGUAGGGUUCCAAAUUGAGUGUCAGAGUUAGGUUUUGAGUCAAGAGUCGAGAUCUAGUCCCAGGUCAGUUGGCGGAUUUGAGUCCCGGAUCAGUUGUCGAGGUAGGGUAUCGUGGUUGAAUUCCAAUUUGAAAGUCAAGUCCUUGAUAGGGAGUUGGGAUCAAAUCUCGAUUUGGAAGUUGGGUCAAGUGUCGGGGUCAGGUUUCACAUCGAGUGUUUACGUCAAAUGUUGGUUUGGAUCUCACGUUAGGUGUCGAGAUCGAGACCCGAAACAAUCAUCGAGUUAAAGAUCAGGGUCAAGGUCAAUGUCGAGUCCUAGGUUGGGAGUUGAGGUCAGGUCCUGGAUCAGUUAUUAGAGUUGAUUUUCAGAUUAGAAAUUAUUUUCCUAAAAUUUAUUUCCUUAUCUCUAGCCAAAAUAAAAGUUUUUUUUUUUGAAAAAUGUUUUUCAUUCACCAACCAAACACUCAAAAAAAAAAUUCACUCAUCAACUUAUUUUCUAAGAAAACAAUUUCCUCCAUACCAAACACACCCUUAAGUCUCAAUCCCAAAAAAUAUUGAGGGUUGACAAUCGGUUAUAUGAAUCAUCACUAUCAAUAUUGUUCUAUUAUUAAUUAAGCAGUUGAUGGUGAAAGAUACACCUAAAGUAUCCUAAUUAUCGAGUCUCAUAUUCGAACUAUCAAUUGAGCACUCUAACUUACAAAAUGAUCAUCUAGGCACCUAAUUCAAAACUUAUGUGUCACGUCAACGUCAGGUGUUCAUUAGACACAAUGAGGACAAAUUGAAGUGUUUAAUUGUCAAUUAAGACCAAAUUGAGAUGUCUAGAUGUACACUCUCAAAGUUGAAGUGCUUAUUUGAUUAGAUUGAAUCAAAUCAAGAAAAAGAAACUCAAUCAAGAAUUUGGUUUGGUAUCGAAGAAAAAAAAUUCGAUCAUAAUUAAUUUAGUUUAGUCAGAACUUAAGAAAAAGCAUAUCAAAAUCAAACCAAAGUGAUAUUAUAUUUAUAUAAAUUUUAUAAAUAUGUUAUACUUUAAAAUAUUUAUUAUAAUUCUUAAUAAAUAAUGGUUGUCGAUGCCAAAUGGUGGUAUGUAAUUAAUGGUGGACGAUGGCAGUAGGUUGGAUGAGGGAAUUGUUGAACUACUAACAACAGAUCCAGUAAAAUCUCACUAAGUGGAAUCUGAGGAGGGUAGAGUGUAUGCACUCUACCUCCAAUUUUCAUGAAAAUAUUUAAAUAGAUAUCUUAAUAAUAUUAAUAUUUUUUUCUUAUAGAGAUUAAUCAUUUAGAUUUAUUCAAACACUACAAAAAAAAAAAAAAGGGGGCGGGCGAGGGGGGGUGGGGGUGUAUGUGUGAGAGAGAUCACUAUUCUGAUGGACUAAUGCAAAGUCAAAUAUUGACUAUAUAGAAAUUAUAAAGAUAUCAUGUGCACUACAACCAAACCAAUUUUAAAUUUUCUGGGAAUGUGUACUAAUAAUGUACUUGUUAAUAUUAUUCCACAUUUGAUAUAAUUCUUUUACUAAUUAAUCAAAGAGAAGAAAUGUAAACUAAAAUAUACUUAACUCUUGAGUCAAACUUCUUCUGGCAGCAAUUAACAGCUAACUUUGAUUUGUCUUUUGUCCUAAAGAUGGUUGAUGCCUCUGUGUCAUUCGCAGUUCAAAAACUUCUCAUACAGGAAGCUUCCCUGCGUACAAGUCUCAGACAGGAUGUGCGGUGGCUGCGAAAUGAGCUGUUCUUCAUGCAGUCUUUCCUUAAAGAUGCAGAACAAAAGCAAGUUGUAGAUCAAAGAGUUCAGCAAUGGGUGUUUGAGAUCAACUCUGUUGCUAAUGAUGCCAUUGCUAUAUUGGAGACUUAUAGCUUAGAGGCUAGUAAAGGUAACGACCCUAGAUUUGCUAGUCGUCUGAAGGCUUGCACUUGCAUCUGCAGGAAGGAGACAAAAUUCUACAACGUCAGCAUCACUAAAGCAUUGAAUCAUGGAUAUCUCUCACAAACGAGAGACUUAUGGUAUUAGAGAUAUCAAUAAUGCAGGAGAAGGGCCAAGUAAUUGCCCAAACAAUCAGUAUGACAUGGUUAGAACAUUGAGGAGAACUACCUCAUAUGUAGAUGAGGAUCACAUUUUUGUUGGCUUUCAGGAUGUUGUACAAGCAUUGCUAGCUCAACUUCUCAAAGCAGAGCUUCACAGAAGCGUCAUCUCCAUUUAUGGUAUGGGCGGAUUAGGCAAGACAACUCUUGGGAGAAACCUAUACAUCAGUCCUAAUAUAGUCUCUAGCUUCCCUACACGUGCUUGGAUAUGUGUUUCUCAAGAGUACAACACCAUGGAUCUCCUUAGGAAUAUCAUAAAAUCCAUCCAAGGUUGCACCAAGGAAACUCUAGAUUUGUUGGAAAAGAUGACAGAGAGAGAUCUAGAAAUUUACCUUCGUGAUCUUUUAAAAGAACCCAAAUACCUUGUGGUGGUCGAUGAUUUAUGGCAUAGAGAAGCAUGGGAAAGUUUGAAACGAGCAUUUCCAGAUAGCAAGAACGGCAGCAGAGUAAUUAUUACUACACUAAAAGAGGAUGUCACUGAAAGAGCAGAUAACAAAGGUUUUGUCUAUAGCUUCGCUUCCUGAGCCAAGAAGAAAGUUGGUAUCUCUUUUGUAGGAAACUACUUGAUGUUCGGGCAAUGGUCUCAGCAAUGGAAAGGCUAGCAAAGGAAAUGGUGGACAAGUGUGGAGGUUUACCUCUUGCAGUUGUUGUAUUAAGCGGACUACUUUCACAUAAAAGGGGGUUCGAAGAAUGGCAAAAGGUGAAGGACCACCUUUGGCAAAACAUUAAAGACGACUCUAUUGAAGUCUCCUGCAUACUAUCAUUGAGCUACAACGAUUUGUCAAUUGCGCUCAAGCAGUGUUUCCUGUACUUUGGUAUUAUUCCAGAAGAUCACGUGGUCCAUGUUGAUCACAUAUUAUGGUUGUGGAUGGCUGAAGGAUUUGUACCAACAGGAAAAGAAAUAAUGGAGGAUGUUGUUGAAGGCUUCUUGAAUGAGUUGAUAAGAAGAAGCUUGAUACAAGUGGUACGCACAUUUUGGGAAAAAGUUGGUAAUUGUAGGAUUCAUGAUCUGCUUCGCGAUCUUGCCGUACAAAAAGCAUUGGAGGUAAACUUUUUUGACAUUUAUGAUCCAAGAAAGCACUCCAUAUCCUCCUUGUGUCUUAGACAUGCCAUUCAUAGUCAAGGAAAAAGGUAUCUCUCACUUGAUCUUUCUAACUUGAAGGUUAGGUCACUUAUGUUCCUUGAUACGGAAUUUUUAAAGAUGGGUCUUAUAAAGUUCCAUAAUGUGUUCCAACAUCUAUAUGUGUUGUACUUGGAGAUGCGUGUUGACAAUGUCUAUAGUACCUGAUGCCAUAGGAAGUUUGUACCACCUCAAGUUCUUAAGAUUGAGAGGUAUCUAUGAUCUUCCCUCUUCCAUUGGCAACCUCAAGAAUUUACAGACACUUCUUGUCAAUGACUAUGGAUACUUUUGCCAACUACCCCGCGAGACAGCUGACUUGAUAAAUUUAAGACAUUUAGUUGCUUCGUAUUCAAUACCUCUGAAAUGUAUAAGGAAACUCACUAGUCUUCAAGUUCUUAAAGGCAUCCAUUGUGAUCAGUGGAAAGAUGUUGACCCUGUUGAUUUAGUCAAUCUUCGAGAAUUAAGCAUGCAUGAGAUUACCAAAACUUACUCACUGAACAACAUUAGCAGCUUGAAAAACCUUAGCACUCUAAAAUUGUGCUGUGUAGCUUAUGAAUCAUUCCCAAACCUUGAAUAUCUUAGUUCUUGUCAAAACCUUCAGAAAUUGUGGUUAGAGGGGCAAAUAGAAAAACUGCCUCUCUCAGAGCAGUUUCCGAAUUCCAUCGCCAUGAUGGUCCUUCGGUACUCAGAACUCAUGGAAGAUCCCAUGUCUACUCUAGGGAUGCUGCCAAAUCUAAGGAAUCUCGAUUUGUUUAGAGCUUACGGAGGAAAAGAAAUUACUGCAUUGAUAACAACUUCAGUCAACUGGAGAUCCUUCGUCUUGAUUGUCUUGAGAACUUAGAAAGGUGGCAUUUAGCCACAAGUGCCAUGCCUCUGAUUAAAGGUCUUGGUAUCCAGCGUUGUCCAAAGCUACAUGAGAUUCCCGAUAGAAUCAAAGACGUAGAGAGAACUCCUUUUCAAUGAAGCUUUUCAAGCAUAUGUGAUGUCCUAUUUCAGCUCUUUCAUAAUCGUAGAGGUAAUAAAUCCCAAUCCCCAAUGAUCAUUUCUUUAAUUCCUUUUAAUUACUCACUCUGCCACAGAUUUGUUAGUAUAAUGUUUAAUUUUUAUACUAUGACAGUACAACUUUUAAUACAUUAUCAACAUACUAAAAGAAGUCAACUAUAAAUAAUUGUCUAUAAGUAAAUCACUUAUGCAUGAGAUUUUGUCUUGUAUCCCAACAACAACAUACCCAGUACUGUAUUCCAACAGAAUGAGUUCUGGGGGGUAGAGUGUACGCGAACCUUACAUCCACCUCAAAGGUCAGGUAGAGAGACUAUUUCUGAUAAACUCUCGGCUCAAGACAAAAACAGACUAGAAAAAGACAUAAUGGAAGUAGAAGAGACAAUAGGUAGUAACAAAACAACAGAUGAAAGCAGAACAGUACUACAACCAAAUAAUAUUACAAUCAAACUAUGAUUAAUCAUCAAUUUAGGUUAUUGAUAAAUCUUUUGUUCUUUAUUGAAUACUAUUCCUCAUAUUAAAUAGUGUCUUACAAUUUUGUGAAUAGGAGAAGCAACAGCUGGCAGGUGUGGAACUUUUGCCAAGCAGUUCAAGAGAUUUACAUGCAGCAAGUCAGAUUUUAGAAAUAAUAAGCAUGUUUUAUUUUUUUUUGGCUUUAGGUCAUGUGUUUAAAUUAUAAGUGUGACGUUCAAGAUUUUUUUUAAAAAAUCUCCUUGUAUAAAUUUCUUGAAUCUUGUCAAAUUUAAUAAAUCUCCACCUUGGCAAGAUUCUCCAUUUUCAACUUUCUCUCAACAACUUUUGAUUGUGUCUUCAACCUUAAUCUUCAAUGUUCAACAAUGUUGAUCAAGUUCAAACAAUGUUGAAACUUGACCGCAGUAACCACUUUUGUCAGCAUAUCGGCAGGAUUAUCCGUAGUAUGAAUUUUCUACACUGUGACUCCACCUUCUUCUAUGAUGUCUCGUAUGAAAUGAUAUCGGACAUCAAUGUGCUUCGUCCUUGCAUGAUAAACUUGGUUCUUUGCUAAUUGAAUAGCACUUUGACUAUCACAAAAUAUUGUGAUUCCUUCUUGUCCAAUACCAAGCUCUCUAAGCAAUCCUUGAAGCCAAAUUGCCCCUUUGCAGCCUCUGUAAUUGCCAUAUACUCUGCCUCAGUGGUAGACAAAGCAACUCUUGACUGCAAAGUAGGCUUCCAACUAACUGGUGCGUUUGCAAUAGUGAAAACAUAACCAGUAGUUGAUCUUCGUUUGUCCAAAUCACCUGCAUAAUCUGAGUCACAAUAUCCAACAAGAUAUUGACUAUCUUUAUGCUCAUAAACCAAGUCAAUAUCUACAGUAUUAUGAAUAUACCGUAGAAUUCAUUUUACAGCCUGCCAAUGAUCCUUUCCAGGAUUAUGCAUAUACCUGCUUACAACUCCAACAGCGUGUGAAAUAUCUGGCCUUGUGCAAACCAUUGCAUACAUCAAGCUACCAACAACAUUCGCAUAUGGUACUUUUGACAUAUAUUCUUGUGCAACUUCACUCUUUGGCGACAUAGCAUCACUAAGCUUAAAAUGAGGAGCAAGCGGAGUGCUAACCGACUUCGUUUUCUCAUUCAUGCCAAAUCGAUUUAGUACCCUCUUCAAAUAUUCUUUCUGAGAUAAAAAAAAGCUUCUUUGAAUGACGAUCUCUUUUUAUCUCCUUGCCAAGAAUCCUCUUUGCCUCGCCCAAAUCAUUCAUCUCAAACUCCUUUUUUUGUUGAAUCUUUAGCUUCUCAAUUUCCUCUUGACUUUUAGAAGCUAUCAACAUAUCAUCAACAUAUAGGAGAAGAUAGAUAAAGGAAUCGUCUUCAAGCUUGCGCAAAUACACACAAUGAUCGUAUUUGUUUCUUAUGUACCUUUGCUGCAACAUAAACUUGUCAAAUCGUUUGUACCAUUGUCUAGAAGAUUGUUUCAAUCCAUACAACGAUUUUUCAAGUUUGCACACCAUAUUUUCUUUUCCAUCAACUUUGAAUCCUUCUGGCUGAGUCAUGUAGAUUUCCUCUUCCAAGUCUCCAUGUAAAAAUGCAGUUUUUACAUCCAACUGAACUAGUUCAAAAUUCAACUGUGCUACCAAAGCCAACAAAACUCUAAUGGAGGAGUUUUUCACAAUUGGAGAAAAUACCUCAUUAUAGUCAAUUCCCUCCUUUUGAGUGUAUCCUUUGGCCACCAAUCUUGCUUUGUAGCGAACAUCUUCUUGGUUAGGAAAUCCUUCUUUCUUUGCAAAUACCCAUUUGCACCCAAUUGCUUUCUUGCCAUCCGGGAGAUUGGCCAAUUUCCAUGCAUGAUUCUGAUGAAAGGACUGCAUUUCUUCAUCUAUGGCAAACCUCCACUUAUCUUCUUCUGAACUUUGGAUUGCAUCUUUAUAAGUGGUAGGAAUGUCAUCCGCUGCAAUUGAGUCCGCACAAGCCACCACAUCUGUGAGUCGAGCAGGUUUUCUUAUUGUCCUUUUUGGCUUGCUGGUUGCUAUUGAUUCAAGUUGUGGUUGAGGUUCUUGAGAUGGAACCUCCCCUUCGACUGGCUCUUCUUCCAGAGGAAACACUUCUAUUGUUUCCUCAUUUGAUCCAUGUUUUAGGAAAAUUAUAUUUCCCUCAAACUCCACCUGCUUUGAAGCACCAUCAGUUUGUUUGACUUCUUCAACUGUUACCUUAUUUGUCAAGGCAGAUUCAUCAAAGGUAACAUCCCUACUGAAAAUAAUUUUUCUUGUCUCUGGACACCAUAAACGAUAUCCUUUGACUCCAGAAGUAAUUCCCAUAAAUAAAGCUUUAUUUGCUCUUGGGUCCAAUUUUGACUCCCUUACAUGAUAAUAUGCAAUUGAGCCAAAUACAUAUAAAGAACCAUAAUCUUCAGCAGGUUUUCCAUACCAUUUUUCUAAUGGUGUCUUCCCACCAAUAGCAGCAGAUGGUAGACGAUUAAUCAGGUGACAUGCAUAAUGUUAUUGUCUCAGCCCAAAAUUCUUUGCCCAAGCCAGCAUUGGACAACAUACACCGAACCUUCUCCAGCAAAGUUCGGUCCAUGCAUUCUUCCACUCCAUUCUGUUGUGGUGUAUUUCUAACGAUGAAAUGUCUGACGAUGCCAUUUUCCUCACAAAUUUUCUGAAAAAGAUCAUUUUUGUAUUCUCCACCAUUGUCUGUGCGAAGACACUUGAUCUUUUUUCCACUUUGAGUUUCUAUCAUCACUUUCCAUUUGAGAAAAAUUCCCAAUACUUCAUCUUUUGUUUUCAUCGUAUACACCCACAAUCUUAGGGAAAAGUCAUCAACAAAGGUUUCAAAAUAGUGUUUCCUACCUAAUAAAUGUGUUUUGGAAGCACCCCAAACAUUUGAAUGAACAUAAUCCAAAAUACCUUUAGUAUUAUGGAUAGUUGUUCCAAAUCAUGGAAAUCUCUCGCAAACGAGACACUUAUGGUAUUACAAAUAUCAAUAGUAAUGCUGGAGAAGGGCCAAGUAAUUAGUCUGCCAUGGUUAGAACAUUGAGGAGAACUACCUCCUAUGUGGAUGACCAGGAUUACAUUUUUGUUGGACUUCAAGAUGUUGUACAAACAUUGUUAGAUGAACUUCUCAAACCAGAGACUCGUUGAAGUGUUGUCUCCAUUUAUUGGCAUGGGCGGAUUAGGCAAGACCACUCUUGCAAGAAACCUCUACAACAAUCCUAAUAUAGUCAAUAGCUUCCCUACACGCGCAUGGAUAUGUGUUUCUCAAGAGUACAACACAAUGGAUCUCCUUAGGAAUAUCAUAAAAUCCAUCCAAGGUUGCACUAAGGAAACUCUAGAUUUGUUGGAAAGGAUAACUGAAAAAGAUCUAGAAAUUUACCUUCGUUAUCUAUUAAAAGAGCACAAAUAUAUACCUUGUGGUGGUUGAUGAUGUAUGGCAGAUAGAAGCAUGGGAGAGUUUGAAAAGAGCAUUUCCGGAUGGCAAGAAUGGCAGCAGAGUCAUUAUUACCACGCGCAAAGAGGAUGUCGCUGAAAGAGCAGACAACAGAGGUUUUGUCCAUAAACUUCGUUUCCUAAGCCAAGAAGAAAGUUGGGAUCUCUUUAGUAGGAAACUACUUGAUGUUCGAACAAUGGUUCCAGAAAUGAAAAGUCUAGCUAAGGAUAUGGUCGAAAAGUGUAGAGGCUUACCUUUUGCAAUUGUUGUAUUGAGCGGACUACUUUUGCAUAAAAAAGAGCUAAAAGAAUGGGAAAAGGUGAAAGAUCACCUUUGGAAGAACAUUAAAGAAGAUAAAUCUAUUGAAAUCUCCAACAUACUAUCCUUAAGCUACAAUGAUUUAUCAACUGCGCUCAAGCAAUAUUUUCUCUACUUUGGUAUUUUUCCACAAGAUCAAGUGCUCGGGGCUGAUAACAUAAAAUGGUUGUGGAUGGCCGAGGGUUUCAUACCCAGAGGAGAAGAAAGAAUGGAGGAUGCCGCAGAAGGCUUCUUGAAUGAACUUAUAAGACGAAGCUUGGUUCAAGUGGCUAAAACAUAUUGGGAAAGAUUUACUGAAUGUAGGGUUCAUGAUUUACUCCAUGAUCUUGCGAUACAAAAGGCAUUGGAGGUAAACUUCUUUGACAUUUAUGAUCCAAGAAGCCACUCCAUAUCCUCUUUAUGUAUCAGACAUGUGAUUCAUAGUGAAGGAGAAAGGUACCUCUCACUUGAUCUUUCUAACUUAAAGUUGAGGUCAAUUAUGUUCUUCGAUCAAAAUUUUCGUAAGAUGAGUCUUAUAAACUUCAGGAGUGUGUUCCAACAUCUAUAUGUGUGUCUAUAGUACCUGAUGCCAUAGGAAGUUUGUACCACCUCAAGUUCUUAAGAUUGAGAGGCAUCCAAGGUCUUCCCUCUUCCAUUCGCAACCUUAAGAAUUUACAGACACUGUAUGUCAAUGACGACAUACAGUAUUGUGAACUACCCCAUGAGACAACUGACCUAAUAAAUCUAAGACAUUUAGUUUCCCUGUAUUCAAAACCUCUGGAACAUAUAAGCAAACUCACUAGUCUUCAAGUUCUUCAAAACAUCUGUUGUGAUCAAUGGAAAAAUGUUGACCCUGUUGAUUUAGUCAAUCUUCGAAAAUUAAGCAUGCAUGAUAUUACCAAAUCUUACUCCCUAAACAACAUUAGCACCUUGAAAAACCUUAGCACUCUCAGAUUGUUGUGUUGUGCUGAUGAAUCAUUCCCAUCUCUUGAAUUUGUUAAUUGUAGUGAAAAGCUCCAGAAAUUGAGGUUAGAAGGGAGAAUAGAGAAACUGCCUCAUCUGUUUCCAAAUUCCAUCACAACGAUGGUUCUGAGGUUCUCAGUACUGACAGAAGAUCUGAUGCCUAUUUGGGAAUAUUGCCAAAACCUGAGGAAUCUCGAUUUGCUUAGAGCUUAUGAAGGAAAAGAAAUAAUGUGCAGUGAUAACAGCUUCAGUCAACUAGAGUUCCUUCGUCUUUAUGAUCUUGAGAAGCUAGAAAGAUGGGAUUUAGGCACAAGUGCCAUGCCUCUGAUUAAAGGUCUUGGUAUCCAUGACUGUCCAAAUUUAAAGGAGAUUCCUGAGAGAAUGAAAGACGUGGAGUUGUUGAAGAGGAAUUAUACGUGGUGAAGCUUUUGAAGCAUAUAUCAUGUCUUAUUUUGGCCUCAUAAUCGUAGAUUUUAGUGUUUCUGCCAAGCACUUGAAGACAUUGGUUAUUUCAGGGCUGUCAAUGAGAGUGGUUUUAGUGUUUGAUUUCUUAUUGUUUUAAGCUUUUUGAGUGAGUGUAAUUGGUUUGAAGAUAGUUGUUUUUGGCAAAAAUGAUUUUGUGAUGUUUUAAUUAAUUGUCUACUGUAUGUUCCCCUACUUAGCCACAUUUAAGACAAUGCUUUAUAUGUUAAAAUGUGUUGGUGUAAUAUACCCUAAAUAUAAUAAGUAAAUAAAAUGACAAAAAAUGCAUAAACAAAUCUUUAGGCUGAGGCACGGAUAUCUCGCUCUCUUUAAGGAGAUUCAAGCCCACUGCAGCAUAAUCUACACCGAUCCAGCAGUAUCACUCUUGACUUGUCCCCUCUAGGAUACAACAGCCCAACAAUGUGUACAACUCAAGCAACUCCGGAUUAGUUAAAGAGUCCAAAGCUCCACAUAAGAACACUUUCCUUCAACAUAUAAAUACUCUCUUGUCUAUAGUGAAUAUAGUUGAAGACUUAGAAUAUUUUUCUAUGUCUCAACUCUCUCUUUCACUAUUACACACUACAAUAUUACUUCACACUUCUCAUCUUUUUGAGAUACUUCACAAAGGAAGAAACACAACUAUUUAUAGGUGAAGAAGUCUCCCAUAUAAUCAAUAGGUAGAAUGAGGGGUAGUAAUGUGGCUGGAUAAAUGUGAUAGAUGUUACAUGAGUUACAAGAAACUAAUGGUCAUAUGAGUUACAAGAAACUAAUGACCAUGAUAGUUACAAGAACUAAUGGCCAUAUAGGUUACAAGAACCAAUAGUCAUCUUCUACCACAAUUUAUACCCACUAACUUAUGCACUUAAUAUUUUAUUUUAAUAAUAAAAUGUAUAUACACCAACAAAAUGAAAUUAAAAAUAGUAUAUGGUGUUAUGAAUCAACCCCAGCCCAAUAGGUGUUCUUAUUGAGGACGGGAGUAUUGUUAUGAAUCAGCCCCAGCCCAAUAGGGAUACCAACAAGGAUAUCACACAAAUAGAUAUUGGGCCGAGUAAAAGCAAUCGGGCCAGGCCUUCACAAAUUGUUUGGGAUCCAGGCCCAUUUACACUUUGUUAAAAAGGGCAAAUGAGUUGGAAAGAAGGAUUAGGAAAAUUGUUAAAGAAAGAGUGUUUCCUCUCAUCUCCCUUCUUAGUCUAAGCUUCUCAUCCCCUUCCUAUGGGUUCUUCUGAUUUCUCAUCUCCUUGCUAUUAUCUAUCCUAGUUUCUUUAUCUUCUGUAAUUUCUAUUGUACUAGUACUAUUUCUAUGUUGCUGUAGUACACCAGUUAAUACAAUCAGUGAAAAGAGUUUGGCUACUGUUCUUUUGUGAUUAGUGUUUGUUACAUAGGUGCUUUCAUCCAGAGAACUCCAUCAUCAGCUAUGUUUCUACCUAGAUUCAAUGGCAAUGACAACGGCAACCCGAAGAACUGGAUUUUUCGGGCAGAAUUGUACUUCACAUACCUUGGUUUCGACGAGAAGGACUGGCUACCUCUUCCUUCCUUCUACUUUGAUGGUGAAGCUCUUUCCUGGUUCGAUUGGUUGUUUCGCAACAAGCUACUCGUCGAUUGGAACCAUUUCAAGGAUGCAUUUACUCAGCGAUUUCAACAACAAACCAACAUAAAUGUGUUGGGGCGUCUAGCUAAUUCCUCACAGGUUCAUUAUGACUACAUUAGUUCUGUCCCUAUAGUUUCACAAUCAGUUGUGGUGUCUCCUUUUUCUGCUUCCAGUCAUUUUUCAAGGUCCUCUGCCAUUGCAUCUGCCUGCAACGCUGAAAGCUCACAGGCAGACCAGGUGCUCGAUGAAAGUUCUCACGGCAUUAAAUUAAAUGAGGUAAGGUCAAUUGCACCCCGAGUAUCACUCCUAGUUCCUUUUGAUGGUCCAGAAGUUGUUAGGCCAAAUGAACAUCUCGAACGAGAUAUGUCAAUGAGGUAUGUAGAUGUUAACUCUCUUGCUAGUGGCUCUCCUAAAUUGAAAACUGAUUCGGAGACCUUCGUAGACUGGUAUCUUUCUGAUUUGUUCAUGGAACCUGUGGGUAAUGAAAAUCUGUAUCUCAAUAUCUCGACAAGUUCAAUACAUUCUGUUAAAAUACUUCCUGACAUUGAAAAUGGAAAAUCCACCGGGGCGUUCAAUGAUCAAAAUAUUUCAAGUCAAUUUCCAUUGGUUCCUGCUGCUAAUUUAUUUAUUAUAAUCAUGCCUGUGAUUGCAAUGGACCUUUGUGUAUGGGAUCCAGGAAUAUGUUUCGAGUUCAUGGCUCUAACAGAUUUUAUAGAGAACGCAGAGGAAUUAUUUUUGUUGGGCUGUCCUUGCAAGUUUUUCUUAAAUGUAGAUUCAAACUCUAUGAGUAGAGUGUGGGAUCCGGGACAAACAUGGUGUGUAUAUUGCUACUUCUCUAAUGGGUCAUGCGUUAUGUAUAACUACAUUGCAUUCACAUGUCCUUCAAUCGCAUAUGAACUAGUCGUUGAGGAAUAUUUUUAUGUAAACUAUGACGUUUUGGUGGACAACUUCAAGCAAACAUCAGUUUUGCGUCCCGAUGUCAGCACUAGUUUUGACAGGAAAAUUGAGAAUUGCUACCUAGUGCUUGAUAGAAAGAAUCAUAUUGCAUUACUUAGUUCUACUAUAGGGCUUCAGAACUUUGAUGCUCAUUUUAAUGUGCUCCCAAUUGGCAUCACUGGCCCCAUGAAAGUUUUUGGAAGACAUAGUGUUGCGCACGAAGUACUAUCUAAUUCUGCCCAUCACUGGUCCUUGAAGAUUUGUUUACAUGGACUUUUCCAUAAUUGGUUUGCUGGAAGAACUCAUUGGUUUGUUUUUGUUGUUAUUAAUGGUGAUGUUGUGGGAAGUUCAACUAGAAUUGUCCAUUUAAACAAAUGGGUUUCUGGGCAGCGGCUGAAGGAUAAUGUACAAAUGCCUAGGCAUAACAAUGUGUCAUGGAGGGGAAAUUCUGGGCUGCAAGAUGGAAAGUAUAUUGAUUUUAUUAAAUAUAAAUAUUUGGUGGUGGUCUACAAUGAUGCCAGAGAUGGACUACAACUUAGUUUGCCUUUAUUUCAUGUUCUUACUAUGCUAAGCUGGAGUGUGAGUGUGCAUCUUGCAAAUUAUAAAGUUGUUGAACUAAAUCAUGUCAGGGAUGUUUUCAAAGCAGCCUUCACUAUGAUGUCCAUUCUAAGGAUAUUGUGGCCUAGGAGACAUGUAAUUGGAGAAAAUGAUGAGUUUAUCGGCAAGAAGGCUGCUUAUGCAUUGAGCCAAGGCGUUGGCGUUAUAGCCUGUAUUGGAGAGCUGUUACAAGAAAGAGAAGCAGGAAAAACUUUUGAUCUCUGUUUCCAGCAAUUGAAGGCUUUUGCAGAUGCUAUACCAAGUUGGGAUAAUGUUGUCAUUGCGUAUGAGCCUGUCUGGGCUAUUGGAACUGUUGCCUCGCCUGAUUUUUCUUGUCACAACCAUGUCCAACAGGCAGUAAACUGUUUUGACACAAUAUACAAAGCUUGGUAUGAAGCUCUUGAUUUUUCUCACAAGGGACUUGCAGGUGUUUGCCAUCAAAUGCACUUCGUCCAUCUUAAAGUCAAUGUAACUGCACCUAGAUUACCAAUGCUUUCGUUGGCGAGAUCUCUUGACUUGAACCUUGAGGACAAGGUUCUUAUUGAGGACGGGAGUAUUGUUAUGAAUCAGCCCCAGCCCAAUAGGGAUACCAACAAGGAUAUCACACAAAUAGAUAUUGGGCCGAGUAAAAGCAAUCGGGCCAGGCCUUCACAAAUUGUUUGGGAUCCAGGCCCAUUUACACUUUGUUAAAAAGGGCAAAUGAGUUGGAAAGAAGGAUUAUGAAAAUUGUUAAAGAAAGAGUGUUUCCUCUCAUCUCCCUUCUUAGUCUAAGCUUCUCAUCCCCUUCCUAUGGGUUCUUCUGAUUUCUCAUCUCCUUGCUAUUAUCUAUCCUAGUUUCUUUAUCUUCUGUAAUUUCUAUUGUACUAGUACUAUUUCUAUGUUGCUGUAGUACACCAGUUAAUACAAUCAGUGAAAAGAGUUUGGCUACUGUUCUUUUGUGAUUAGUGUUUGUUACAUAUGGUACUCUCACUUGUCCACAAUUUAGUAUUUUCUGUUCCUCCUUCAAUAGCAAAGGAGUUCAUUUAUCUAACUAGUUUUGGUAUCUUAAGUUUUUGGUUUCUGGUUUCAGACAGAUUCGAAAACUACUUAUACUGCAAAAUUAGAGAUGCAACGCAUACCAAAAUAAUCCAAUCACUAGAAGUCUAAUUUACUGACUCAAAUUUAAUUACAUGCCUUCUUCACCUAACUGACUCUAGAUUUAUUGGAAAGGAUGACAGAAGGAAAUCUAGAAAUUUAUCUUCGUGAUCUAUUAAAAGAAUGCAAAUGUGAUGUAUAGCAGAGAGAAGCAUGGGAGAAUUUGAAAAGAGCAUUCCCGGAUAGCAAGAAUGGAAGCAGAGUUAUUAUUACCACGCCCAAAGAGGAUGUCGUUGAAAGAGCAGACGACAGAGGUUUUGUCCAUAAACUUUGUUUCUAAGCCAUGAAGAAAGUUGGGAUCUCUUUUGUAGGAAACUACUUGAUGUUCGAGCAAUGACCUCAGCAAUGGAGAGGCUAGCAAGCUAUGGAUAUGGUGGACAAGUGUAGAGGUUUACCUCUUGCAAUUGUUGUAUUAAGGAGGCUAGAAGAAUGGCAAAAGGUGCAGGACCGCCUUUGGCAGAACAUUAAAGACGACUCUAUUGAAUUCUCCUACAUACUAUCAUUGAGCUACAACCAUUUGUCAACCUUAGAUGGAAUAAGCACACCAUCACUAUCACAAUAAGAAAUAUCAAUCUUCUCAUACCUAUCAUGAAAAAAGGAUCACUGGAGGAGCUUAGAGCGAAAAAUCAUGAAAACCAUUCAUUCGAGAAAUCAUAUCAUCAUCAUCAUAUGUUAUUAAAAGUAGGAAGAAUCUAAGUCAAAAGUUGAAUUAUGAAAAAACCCCUUACCUAUUAAUUUUUUUUUUUAAAAUCAUUUUAAAAAAUUAUUUUUCCAUUUAAAAUCAACUUCAUAACUACACCUCUGCAUUUUCCUAACUUAUCAUCAUAUUAUCAUAAAUAAAUAAUAAAUAAUAAUAAUUAUUAAAAGUGGAAAGCUCCAAAAUUUGAAGUUGGGUCGUCAUUUUACCCCUAUAUUAAAUAAAAAAGUUAUAAAAUAUUUUAUUAAUUAAAUAUUAAAUAGUAAUAAUUUGUCAUUUUUUCUUCACAUAUAAAAAAAGAGAAAUAAAACUUCUAUGAAAUUAGUAAAUAGUAAGUAUAUAUAUAAGUGGAACCAAAAUAUUUUUAAAAUUGAAUUAUCAAAAUGUCCAUAAAAUAUUGAAUGACAUUAAUAUCCUUCAAUCAAAUAUUAUUCCUACAAUAAUAUUGUACAAGAAUAUAAAUAUACACUUAGUUCAAUGCAUUAGGCUAUUUAAUAUAUAUAUAUAUACACGAAAAUACCCAUUAAUAUUUUGCUACAAGUGAAUUUGGCCGCGCUACGCGCAGUGGAAUUACUCAUUUAACAAAUUCAUUAUUAAUUUGAAAAUUGAUUUACUACUAUAUAGUUUAUGAACUAUAAUGCUAAUUGUUUUGAAAAUUCUUUAAAUGUUAUAAACCAUAAAGAAUUGUUUAUAUAUACUUUAUAAAUUUUAAACAUGUUAGCUUUCAUAUAAAAGUGUUGCUUGUUACAACAAAAAUUAACAUUCUAUUUGGUAGAAGAAAGAAAGAAAACUAUAGGUAAAUAGAUGAGUCAAAGAUAUCAAAAUACUUGUGAAUGAUCGUGAUUUAUCGAGCAAGAACUCAUAUGUUAAACUAUUUUAAAUUUUUUAUUAUGCACUUUUCAAGUUCAUUAGUACUAUUCUCUUUCAGAUAGUAUAGUUACAGUAUAAUUUUAAAAAAAGGACCGACAUGCUCGUGUUUUCUUCACCUUUGGUUGUUUCUUUGUUCUUCACAGUUGUUUUAUAUUUCCCUUUUGUUUCAAUACACUCUAAAGAUAGAAAUGUUCUUCAAACUCCACAAAUAGAACAAACAUGUAAAAGAAUAACUUAUGAAACUUAUAGAAACAUUUGAGAAGAUGAUAUACUUGUAGUGCUCUCCACUUAAACGAAUAUCUGAGAUCCUAAUAAUUUUACGGAGAUCCUAAUAAUUUUACCUGAAAUCUUUCUGUUGCCUGCACAAAAAUGACAUAUCCGAUGAUGAUAUUUGGUUGCCGAUAAUGAUAUGUAACUGCAAAACAAUUAUGAUAAAACAUAAAAUAAAAAAAGAUAGUACACAUACUACAGAAGGAAAGCAAACAUGAUCGGUUAGGUAACGAUUGCUUCUAAUUUUGCUUCAAAUUCUGAGUUUUAAGUGCAUGUUAAAUCUGUUACAAUAGUCAUUUAAGGUGGAAUUAAUGAUGGUAUCUAAUUGCUACGUUUAUUUAUAUUUUAUUUAUGAGUCUUUUAAAUUCAUUUGUUAGUAGCAGAAAUGAAACAAAAACAAUACAGGAAAAGGUGAAAAAUGGUCGUUUCAUCUUUUAUUAAUAAAUGAGAUGACAUUUGUUUUUUCAAACAUAUUACACAAAUUAAAACUUAAUAAAAAGCUCAAAAAAAAAAAAAGCAUAUUACACAAAUUAAAACUUAAUAAAAAGCUCAAAAUAAAAUAAAAUAGAGAAAUAUUAUAUAUAUAUAUAUAUAUAUAUGAUAUGAUUUAUUUAACUCCUAUUUAUGUUAUAUAUAUAUAUUUCUAGAAAGUUAAGUCUAUCUUCUAAUAAAUAUAAAUAAUAAUAUAGCAAAUGAAUGAACUAGAUAAAUCAAAAGACAUGGAGUUGUGUGUAUUCAAUUUUUGUAAAUGUUUUAUCUCCCGAUUCCUAAUGCAAAAAAUAAAACAUUUCUUCGUAGUAAUAAACAUAUGGAGAUUUUGAAAAGUUGUUUGGUAUAUUCAAUGUGGAAUAAAUUAUUUUGAUCAAUUCAAUACAAUAUAUUCAUUUACUAAAUGUUAUAUAUUGUGUAUAUAUAGUGAAAAAUAACAAGACAAUUAUAUCAUCAAAUAUAUAUUAUGAUAAAUUAUGUAAAAGAUAAAAAUGAAUCAUUCAUUAUAUAUUUACAACUAGGUAAUUUACCCGUGCGAAAUAAUUUUUCUAAGCUUUUGAACAACCUUUCCAAUAAUGAUUGUUAUAAGAAAAAAAAUUAGUAGAUUUUAAAAAUAUUUCAAUAGAAAUUAAAUGAUUUAACAUUAUCACAUAUCUCAAGAAUUGUAAAUAUAUAAUGAAUGAUUAAAAAUAUCUUCAUAUCUAAUCAUUUUUAUUUUUUACAUAAUUUAUCUUAAUAUAUGUUUGAUAAUAUAAUUGUCUUGUUAAAACUGAGUGAUGUUUUUAUGUAGCGAUUAAACAUCAUUUUUUCUAUUUUUUGUACAUGAAAAAUAUAGAAUCUGAUAAUUUUAUUGUUAGAAUAUAACUUCUAGUGAAAAAAAUUAUGUGAAAGUUUUCGAUAAUCAAUAUUAGUUAUAAAUAAGUUAAGACCGUUGAAAUUGUACACCACAACAACAUAAAUAAUUUUUUUUUAGAGACAAUCUACUUGUCUGAGGUCAAACGUUCACCACUUUUCGUUAUUGUUACUUUGUUACUCUAAAAAAAUUAUAGAAGGAGAAAAAUAAAAUUGAAACAACAGCAAAAUAAUAUUGUUGACCCUUUUAAAAAUUCAUUCUUCAUUAAUUGCUUCUCUGAAGACCCUUCUAGAUGCUUAAUCAAUGCAACUUUACGAUUUUUUCAGAAAUAUGUAUGUAUAAUUGUUGCAUUAUGAAAGUACAAGUAGAUCAAAAUGUUGGAUUCUACUCAUGUUAAAGAAAUAUUCUCGAACAUUAAAAAACUAAAAAUGAAUCUAACCUAGAUAACUCAAACACUCAACAAUGACUUGGGACAUGAAGGACAACAAAUCUAUGUUAAUAGACAUAUCUUUUGUAGUUUAAGACAUUACUUUUAUUUAGAGCAGGUUUUGUUUCAUAUCCUUCAAAUUAAGCUUGCCGAAAAUAGUCAUAACUCACACCAAAAAUAUUUAGAAGAGCCGAAUGAGAAAGAAAAAAAGAAAGACAUUAAAAGGGCGAAAGCUUUUUCCAAGUGAUCAGAUCAUAUACAUACCAAACGAAAAACAAUCAAUACAAUUUUAAGGAGACAACAAAACAGCGAGAAAAAACUUACAUUAAAAGGAGUAAACUAUGAGAUACCCAAUGAUGAUAACAAAUCAUUCUAACCAAAAAAGUUCUCAUGUUUUGAAAUAACAUACCUCAAAAAAUUGACUAACACUUCAAUCAACUUUCAAUCCUUAAAGUACUCAUAAUAUCCACAUAUAAAAUUUAGUAAAAAUAGAUAACAACAACAUAAAAACCAAAAAAUAUGGGCAUGCAAAGUUAUUAACUCUCAAAGGAUUUUCUAAAGAACACAAAAUCUCAUCCUUGUAUGUGAAGGAAUGUCGUUAUUGAUGAAGAAAUUAGAGAUUUGUAAGAGCUUUUUUAUUGUACCUUCAACAAUUCCAAUAGAGAAACCUUGCUUGAAUACUCAAUUAACGUUUGUUAUUUACCUCAAAAAAUUGACUAACACUUCAAUCAACUUUCAAUCCUUAGAAUACUCAUAAUAUCCACAUAUAAAAUUUAGUAAAAAUAGAUUACAACAACAUAAAAACCAAAAAAUAUGGGUAUGCAAAGUUAUUAACUCUCAAAGGAUUUUCUAAAGAACACAAAAUCUCAUCCUUGUAUGUGAAGGAAUGGCGUUAUUGAUGAAGAAAUUAGAGAUUUGUAAGGGCAUUUUUUAUUGUACCUUCAACAAUUUCAGUAGAGAAAACUUGCUUGAAUACUCAAUUAACGUUUGUUAUUUAAUUUGUACUAACAAAUACUUAUAACAAUAAUUUUGCAGAAACAUAAACAACAAAGUUUAAAGCAUGUACUCAAAAAUAACAAUUAAUAAUAUAAACAUAAAUUAAUGACCGUAAAAAACAUAUCAGGAUAUGUAACAAUAGAAUGAAACAGAAUGGAAAAAAUUGAGUCCACUGAAUGCACAGUCCCCCUUAAGGAAAUUAUUCCCCUCUAGUACCCGAGGUUUAAAGGAAUAGAUCCUCUCAGGAUAGAAUAAUUCUAUUCACCAUUGUAUUGAUACAAAAACAAUGGUGUCAGUGAGUCAUUCAACAGGAGCAAAAUACACAAAUAUUUAAUUGUUUAGAAGAAGAAGAAAUUCAAAAUUUUUGUUGUUUAAAAUGAGAGGAAAUUCCUCUAUUUAUAGACAACGAAGGGUAGUGUGAACAAAUGUAUAUUGUGUCUUAUCGAAAUUGUCACAACUCUUUGGAAAAGUUACAAAAGGUCACAACCUUUAUAAAAGUCAUAAUUUUUCAUAAAAGUUGCAAAAUGACUAAAAUAUCCAUAGAAAGAUAUUAGAUAUUUUUAUCGUUUUAAAAAUUAAUUAACUACAUAUUUUUUUAUAUUUUCCUUUUUUUUUUGUAUUUAUUUUCAUUGCACUUAAUAUCAUACGAACUAAAUUUUUUUCUCUUCUUUAUUUAUUAUUUUUCUCCUUUAUUUAUUUUAAAUUCAUUUUCAUGACUCAUGUUUAAUUAUCUAUUAGAUUGUUACUCUUAAUAUUUAUAACUCUUAUUCUUUUCAUAUUCAUAACUUCCAAUUAUUAAGAGAUGCUACCUAUAAAAGUUCCUAAAUACAUUAUUUGUGUUAUAGUCUUUUCUUCAUUCAACCUCAUUUGUUUUAUCCUUUGAGCUUCCAAUUGUAAUUAGUAUUAAUAAGUAUCUAUUACUCAUCUUUCUUAUCUUGCUUGCACUAUAUAAAGGUGUACAAAUGAAUAGUAAAUUAUGAUUCUCUUCUUUCUAUAAUUUUUUUUAUUGUUUUGCAUUUUCCUCAAUACUAUGUGGACAAGUAAAUUUAUUUUCUUUUGUGUUUAAGAGCUUAUAUUUACAAGGUAACAUGUAAUUAAUAUUAUUAUUUACUAUUUGAUUUAUGUUUUAGUUUAACUUGGUGAAGAAGAUUCUUGAAUUUUGAUUGAUUGUAGAAGAAGGUGUUGAUAAGAACUCGGAAUUUAUGUACUGAUUUUGUAUUUUCAUCCAUUUGUAUUAUUAUGAUCAAAGUCUUAAGAAGGGUGUGUAUGUUGUAUUUUUUCUUUUAUGUUUUUAUUUGUUUUUCUCAUUAUUAGACUUCUUUAAUUUGAUUUUCUAUGAAUUUUCGAAUGUCGUAAUUCUGUAAUUUUAAUCAUUUUAUCGAUCUAUAAAAAAUUACAUGGGAUAAACAUGCAAAUCACGUAUCCAGAAACUUGUUUGAUAUAAGAAUAUGUAAGACUCAGCAUACUAUGAGACAUGAGUGCUUAUAUGAAUAGAUUCAUAUUAGGAGGCUGAUAUUCAUAGCCUUAUAGAGUAAGAUAAAGAUCAAUGGGCUAAAGUUUCUGCCUCUUAUUCUGGGAAGUGAACAUAGAUAUGAAUUUAUGAUCUGAAGCGUUUGAGCAUAGGUCAUGGACAUAAUGCCAAUAUGUGAGAAAUCAACAAGGUGUUGUAACGAGUUAACUUUGAGGAAUACGCUAGACUAUGAAUGGAUUGAUAUACCACCAUAACUUUUUCUGAACACAUCAUUAUAUGAUUAUCAACGCUUGACUUGGUUCCUUACCUUAUCAUCUCCCCCUUAGGUCAGAAGCUGACACCCUAAGGCUAUGGACCUAUUACAUAUUCUCUAUACUAGUCUAUAUUCACUUUACUCUAACAUUCGAAAAAAUGCUAAUCACAUGUCUAUUAAACUCUCCAUGCGCAGGUACUAAGAUUCCUUUUAGGGCUUCUUUCUGAGCUGCUUCUCUUAACUUAUUCUUGCUUCUAUAGAAGUCUUUUGAUAAUCGUUACCCGCAUUGGAUUAUAAUUUUAUCUAACUCUUAAUUAAUAGUCUGACGUCUCCUUCUUAGCCUACUAAUACCGUCCUUCUAAGUUCAUAUCUAUCUAACUAGAGAAAACUUGAAUUGUAUUUAAUUAAGAGGCUCGUCAUUGUCUAUGUAUGAUUCUUUCGACCAAACUCUUAAGGGUAAUAAAGAAUGCUUGCAUCAGUCUACUCCACAUUGACAGCUCAAAUAUAUUAUCUAGGCACACAUAGAAAAUCAUAAACUUAAUUAAAGUCUCAUCUAACUAUAUAUGAUCUUGGGUACACAUCUUAGUGCUCUUGUUUAUCCAAUGACGUAGCCACACUUCAUUACUCUCGUCUAAGGGUCAUAAUACCACACUUGUACCACUCACAUUUAAUGCAAAUUAACACCUUAAUUCCUCACUUACUCUAUGUCAAAAGCCUACUAGAUCAAAUCUCAAAACUAACAUCAUUACCCCCCAUAUUGCCAUUCUUUUUAUCACUAUACUCAUCUCAAAUUCAAGCUUAGUGUCCAGUACUAAACAUGGAUAUCAAUGUCAUUGUUCACAUACUAUACUAACUUAUGACUACUGGAUAAAAUUAAGACACAGUCGCCGACUAAGACCUCAUGACAAGUAAUCAAUCUUUAUCCCCUAGUCUACCUAGUUACAGUUUAUCGCCACAUCCCUUUCACAACCUAAGUACUAUUUACCCCCUUCACUAUACAUUAUUGCCUAAUUAGUUCCAUAAUCCUAUUAAUAUCAUGAGGCUCUCCUUUCAAAAUCAUAAGUCUAGCUUAGAUCUAUUUCCUCAUGACUAUUUGUCCUUCAAACAUAUACUUGGUCUUCGCUAUCACAAUUACAUCAAAUUAAAAUUUAAAAUUUUGACUGCAAAAAAAGCGAAAGAAGCAAUCCAUAGAAAGAUUUGACGCUCUGAAACUUCAAGUUAACCUUCAUGGCUGAAUUCAAAUUAAUUUGUGCUAACUUAUUGAAUAUUUUUUUUCUUCUCUUCAAUGUUACAAAACACAUCUUCAAAAAAUUGAGAAGCCAUGCUCAUCAUUUUUUCCUAUAGAUUCCCCAAACGAGGAAACUUAAAAAGAACAGAAACGUAUCUAUUAUUAAAAGAUUAAAUUUGAACAUAAUUAAUUUAAAAUUUCUUAUUUUACCAUUAAUAAUAUAAUUUUAUACCACAUUGAUAUCACGAAAAUUUAAAAAUCCCAAAUCCCAAAUAUCUUUGGUUUAAAUGUGGCACCUAGCCAAACAUGUUUUUAUAAAUAAUCUUCAUUUAUUUUUGAAAGGUAUAAAAAUCGGCCAAAACUAUGUAGCCCAAGUAAAUGAACGGUAGUUAAAAAAAAAAAAAAAAGGUCAUUCGCACAAAUGCCAAUUUGAUGUGACAUUUUGAUAUUUUUUUCCUCUCAAAUGCAUUGUCUUUAAUUUUAUUCCUAUUGCUUAUUUAAUGAAAAUUUUAUUGGCUAAAAUACCCUUAAAUUUAACUAGACAGAACAUUUUACAUAAUGUUUGUAUACAUUGGAGCAUAAAUUUAUCAUGGGAAUAUUUUUUUAUUUGUUUUUUCGCUGUCAGAGAGAAUAUAUACUUUUCUUUGUUUUUUUUGCCGUCAGAGAGAAUAUAUACUUUUCUUUAUCAUUACCCUCAACUUUAUCAUCUUUCUACUUUAAGACUUUAACAAUAUUCCCAUGAUAACAAUAUUCCUUUACACUGAAUUUUUGAAGCUUUAAAUACUGAAUUCCAUGACAACAAUAUUUAUCUCUUAUCAAACUCUCAAUCUACUAAUUUCCAUACACACUUUACCUUUUACAAAAAAAAUAUUAAUUAAUUUCCAUAUUCCUAAAGAUGGCUGAUGCCGUUGUGUCAUUUGCAGUUCAAAAAUUGGGUGAUUUCCUCAUUCAGGAAGUUAACCUACGUUUAAGUCUAAGAGAGGAUAUGAAGUGGAUGAGAACUGAGCUUCUCUUCAUGCAGUCUUUCCUCAAAGAUACAGAACUAAAACAAUAUGGAGAUCAUACAAUUCAACAAUGGGUAACUGAGAUGAACUCUAUUGCUAAUGACGCUGUUGCUAUACUCGAGACUUACAGUUUAGAGGCUGGUAAAGGUGCUAGUCGUCUCAAGGCGUGCGCUUGCAUAUGUAGGAAGGAGAAGAAAUUCUACAAUGUCGCCAAGGAGAUUCAAUCACUCAAGCAACGAAUCAUGGAUAUCUCUCGUAAAAGAGAUACUUAUAGUAUUACAAAUAUCAAUAGUAAUGCUGGAGAAGGAACAAGUAAUCAGGUUACAACACUGAGGAGAACUACCUCAUAUGUGGAUGACCAGGAUUACAUUUUUGUUGGACUUCAGGAUGUUGUAGAAUCAUUGCUAGCUGAACUUCUCAAAGCAGAGCCUCGUCGAAACGUCCUCUCCAUUCAUGGGAUGGGUGGAUUGGGCAAGACCACUCUUGCCAGAAACCUCUACAACAGUCCUAAUAUAGUCUCAAGCUUCCCUACUCGCACUUGGAUAUGUGUUUCUCAAGAGUACAACACAAUGGAUCUUUUUAAGACUAUCAUAAAAUCCAUCCAAGGUUGCGCCAAGGAAACUCUAGAUUUGUUGGAAAAGAUGGCAGAAACAGAUCUAGAAAAUCACCUUCGUGAUCUAUUAGAAGGAUGCAAAUACCUUGUGGUGGUUGAUGAUGUGUGGCAGAAAGAAGCAUGGGAGAGUUUGAAAAGAGCAUUUCCGGAUAGAAAUAAUGGCAGCAGAGUUAUUAUCACCACGCGCAACCAGGAUGUCGCUGAAAGAGCAAACAACAGAGGUUUUGUCCAUAAACUUCGUUUCCUAAAACAAGAAGAAAGUUGGGAUCUCUUUUGUAGGAAACUACUUGAUGUUCGAGCAAUGGUUCCAGCAAUGGAAAGUCUAGCUAAGGAUAUGGUGGAAAAAUGUAGAGGCUUACCUCUUGCAAUUGUUGUAUUGAGUGGACUACUUUCGCAUAGAUGGGGGCUAGACAAAUGGCAAAACGUGAAAGACUGCCUUUGGAAGGACAUUGAAGAAGACUCUAUUGAAAUCUCCUACAUACUAUCAUUAAGCUUCAACGAUUUGUCAGCUGCGCUCAAGAAGUGUUUUCUCUACUUUGGUGUUUUUCCAGAAGAUCAAGUGAUCGAUGCUGACGACAUAAUGCGGUUGUGGAUGACAGAGGGUUUCAUCAUACCAAGAGGAGAAGAAAGAAUGGAGGAUGUCGCUGAAGGCUUCUUGAAUGAGCUGAUAAGACGAAGCUUGGUUCAAGUAGCUCAAACAUUUUGGGAAAAAGUUACUGUAUGUAGGGUUCAUGAUUUACUUCGUGAUCUUGCCAUACAAAAGGCAUUGGAGGUAAACUUCUUUGACAUUUAUGAUCCAAGAAAGAACUUGAAAUCCACUUCAUGUAUAAGACAUGCCAUUCAUAGUGAAGGAGAAAGGUACCUCUCAUCACUUGAUCUUUCUAACUCGAAGUUGAGGUCAAUUAUGUUCUUUGAUCCACAUAUUUGUAAUGUGUUCCAACAUAUAGAUGUGUUCCGACAUAUAUAUGUGUUGUACUUGGAUAUUGAUUAUGGUAAAGUUAUACCUGAUGCCAUAGGGAGUUUGUACAACCUCAAGUUGUUACGCUUGAGUGUUGUCAGUAAAAUUCCCUCCUCCAUCGGCAACCUCAAGAAUCUACAGACACUUGUUGUUGUCAAUAUGGACAGACGCUUUUGCCAACUACCCCCCGAAACAGCUGACCUAAUAAAUUUAAGACAUUUAGUUGUUCCAUAUUCUAUACCUCUGGCAGGUAUAAGCAAACUCACUAGUCUUCAAGUUCUUCGCCUUGAUUGUGAUCAGUGGAAAGAAGUUGACCCAGUUGAUUUAGUCAAUCUUCGAGAAUUAGAGAUGCGUAAUAUAUACAAAUCUUACUCCCUAAACAACAUUAGCAGCUUGAAAAACCUUAACACUCUCAAAUUGUGUAUUUUGCUUGGUCCACAAUCUACAUAUCCAUUCCCAUCCCUUGAAUUUGUUAAUAGUUGUGAAAAGCUCCAGAAAUUGUUGUUAGGUGGGAGAUUAGAGAAACUGCCUGUGUUUCCAGAUUCCAUCACAAUGAUAUUUCUUUGGGAGUCAAGACUGACAAAAGAUCCGAUGCCUAUUUUGGGAAUGUUACCAAACCUAAGGAAUCUCGAAUUAGAAGCAGCUUAUGAAGGAGAAGAAAUAAUGUGCAGUGAUUACAGCUUCAGUCAACUAGAGCUCCUUCAUCUUUAUGGUCUUGACAACUUAGAAAGAUGGCAUUUAGGCACAAAUGCCAUGCCUCUCAUUAAAGAUCUUGUUAUCCAUCAUUGUCCAAAGCUGAGGGAGAUUCCAGAGAGAAUGAAAGACGUGAAGCAUUUCAAACGUAUAUGAAGUCUUAUAUGAUAAUAGGAAAGGUAAAUAUACAAACACAUCCCAAUCCUUCAUUUUUUUUCUUUUUUAUAUAAAUAAUAAUAUUUUUGUUAAAACAGGAGAUGAAGACAUUCAAGUUGAUGAAGAUGGGUUGUCCAAGCAUCAAUCAAGCUUCCGUCACUUUACUGAUUUUGUGAUUCUAGGCAAAAAUGAGGAUUUUUUUGGUUUUUGGCUUCUUUUUUUUUUUUUAGUGUGUGGAAUUGGUUGGAAGAGAUUUUUUUUUUGGGGGAAGUGGGGGUGGNNNNNNNNNNNNNNNNNNNNNNNNNNNNNNNNNNNNNNNNNNNNNNNNNNNNNNNNNNNNNNNNNNNNNNNNNNNNNNNNNNNNNNNNNNNNNNNNNNNNGGGAUCACCCCCGACGAAAAAUCCACGAUGAUCUCCUCGAUCUUCUCUUCUUCUUCUCCUUCUUCUCUUCUUCUUCUCUUCUUCUUCUCCUUCUUCUCUNNNNUCCUCGAUUUCCUCUUCUUCUCUUCUUCUUCUCUUCUUCUUCUCAAGCCCUAGCCUUCACUCUCUUAAAAUGGAACAAAAUGAUCCAAGUAUCAGCCUUACUCAACAAUAUAACCUCAAAAGAAAUAGCCAGGGAAAAGACCAAAAUGCCCUUAAUUUUCCGGAGAGAUUUCCCUGCCAACAGCCCAACUUCUAAAGGGCACAACUCGCUCAUACGAACUCGGAAUUGAGCAAACUCGGCGGUAUUGGAAAUAUCAUUCCACAAGCUUCACAACCAUAACUAGAACUACUCCUAACUCAUCCUGAGAUGGAAGUUAUGACUGCUCAAAGUUGGCCAAAAAUUCAUUUUUUUCACACUUAGCCAAAUUUCCAAAAUUUUAAAUUCUUUCCAAAAAUGACUAUUUUUGAUUUUUAAGCCGCUUCAUAGUUAUUUCAUCUUACCGGAUGUUACAAUAUCUCCCCCUUGGGAACAUUCGUCCUCGAAUGAGGUUACUCUUACAAGGCUAAGGGUGCAACAACAACUCAAACACCCAACAAGCAACUAUACAAACACAACAACAACCACAACAUGCUCAUUAUAAUUAAAAGAGCACUAAAAAGGAAAUUAAUACCUUAAUCUGCAUUUCCUUCGGAUUCAAAGAGAUGUGGAUAUCUCUUCUUCAUGUCUUCUUCGGCUUUCCCCAAAGUGGCUUCCUCAACAAAUUGGUUCCUCCAUAGGACCUUGACUGAGGCUACUUCUUUCGUUCUCAACCUACGAACUUGACGAUCUAAAAUCUGAACAGGAACCUCCUCAUAAGAUAAGUUAUCCUUGAUCUUAAAACUUUCAGUCGGUAGGAUAAAAUGAAGGAUCGCCUAUGCACUUCUUCAACAUGGAGAUGUGAAAUAUUGGAUGAACCGCUUCUAGUUCCUGUACUUUGGUAUUUGUCAACUGCGCUCAAGCAGUGUUUCCUGUACUUUGGUAUUUUUCCAGAAUAUCACGUGGUCCAUUUGAUCACAUAUUAUGGUUGUGGAUGGCUGAAGGAUUUGUACCAACAGGAAAAGAAAUAAUGGAGGAUGUUGUUGAAGGCUUCUUCAAUGAGUUGAUAAGACGAAGCUUGAUACAAGUGGUACACACAUUUUGGGAAAAAGUUGGUAAAUGUAGGAUUCAUGAUCUGCUUCACGAUCUUGCCGUACAAAAAGCAUUGGAGGUAAACUUUUUUGACAUUUAUGAUCCAAGAAAGCACUCCAUAUCCUCCUUGUGUCUUAAACAUGCCAUUCAUAGUCAAGGAAAAAGGUAUCUCUCACUCAAUCUUUCUAACUUGAAGGUUAGGUCACUUAUGUUCCUUGAUACGGAUAUUUUAAAGAUGGGUCUUAUAAAGUUCCAUAAUGUGUUCCAACAUCUAUAUGUGUUGUACUUGGAGAUUCAUGUUGACAAUAUGUGUAUACUGUAUAGUACCUGAUGCCAUAGGAGGUUUGUACCACCUCAAGUUCUUAAGAUUGAGAGGUAUCCAUGAUCUUCCCUCUUCCAUUGGCAAGCUCAAGAAUUUAUAGACACUUCUUGUCAAUGACUAUGGAUACUUUUGCAACUACCCCGCGAGACAGCUGACCUGAUAAAUCUAAGACAUUUAGUUGCUUCGUAUUCAAAACCUCUGAAACGUAUAAGCAAACUCACUAGUCUUCAAGUUCUUAAAGGCAUCCAUUGUGAUCAGUGGAAAGAUGUUGACCCUGUUGAUUUAGUCAAUCUUCGAGAAUUAAGCAUGCAUGAGAUUACCAAAACUUACUCACUAAACAACAUUAGCAGCUUGAAAAACCUUAGCACUCUAAAAUUGUGCUGUGUAGCUUAUGUAUCAUUCCCAAACCUUGAAUAUCUUAGUUCUUGUCAAAACCUUCAGAAAUUGUGGUUGGAGGGGCAAAUAGAAAAACUGCCUCUCUCAUAGCAGUUUCUGAAUUCCAUCGCCAUGAUGGUCCUUCGGUACUCAGAACUCAUGGAAGAUCCCAUGUCUACUCUAGGGAUGCUCCCAAAUCUAAGGAAUCUCGAUUUUGUUUAGAGCUUACGGAGGAAAAGAAAUUACCUGCAGUGAUAACAGCUUCAGCCAACUGGAGAUCCUUCGUCUUGAUUGUCUUGAGAACUUAGAAAGAUGGGUUUUAGCCAGAAGUGGCAUGCCUCUGAUUAAAGGUCUUGGUAUCCAGCGUUGUCCAAAGCUACAUGAGAUUCCUGAUAGAAUCAAAGACGUGGAGAGAACUCCUUUUCAAUGAAGCUUUUCAAGCAUAUAUGAUGUCCUAUUUCAGCUCUUUCAUAAUCGUAGAGGUAAUAAAUCCCAAUCCCCAAUGAUCAUUUCUUAAAUUCCUUUUAAUUACUCACUCUGCCGCAGAUUUGUUAGUAUAAUGUUUAAUUUUUAUACUAUGACAGUACAAUUUUUUUUACAUUAUCACCAUACUAAAAGAAGUCAACUAUAAACAAUUGUCUAUUAGUAAAUCACUUAUGCAUGAGAUUUUGUCUUGUAUCACAAAUUCACAACAACAACAUACCCGGUACUGUAUUCCCACAGAACGAGGUCUGGUGAGGGUAGAGUGUACACAAACCUUACCUCCACCUCAAAGAUGAGGUAGAGAGAUUAUUUCCAAUAAACUCUCAGCUCAAGAUAAAAACAGACUAGAAAAAGACGUAAUGGAAGUAGAAGAGACAAUAGGUAGUAACAAAACAACAGAUGAAAGCAAAACAGUACUACAACCAAAUAAUAUUACAAUCGAACUACACGAAACAAUAGAUAUCAAUAAAAUGAUUUUCUUCAUGCCAAAAACACACUGAAUUGUAUUGGUAAUCUAUUAUUUGGUCAACACUUGAUAUUGUCCUGAUCAUUAUGAUUAAUCAUCAAUUUAGGUUAUUGAUAAAUCUUUUGUUCUUUAUUGAAUACUAUUCCUCAUAUUAAAUAGUGUCUUACAAUUUUGGUUGAAUAGGAGAAGCAGCAGCUGGCAGGUGUGGAACUUUUUGCCAAGCAUUUCAAGAGAUUUACAUGGAGCAAGUCGGAUUUUAGAAAUAAUAAGCAUGUUUCUUUUGUUUUGGCUUUAGGUCAUGUGUUUAAAUUACAACUGUGACAUUCAAGAUUUUUUUUUUAAAAAUCUCCUUGUAUAUAUUUCUUGUUCCGCCACUGCCCACAUUUUGUUUCUUGUCAUAACUAAGUAUUAAAUAAGUAUGAGCUUUUAAGUUCGAGAUUCAGAAAUGAACUUUUUGUAAUUAUUAUCCAAGAAUAUUAUGGUAUAAUAGAUCUUUAUAGAAUUAUAGUCCACAAACAUAUAAUAACUCAAAACAGUGAUGACUAGCAGUGAUGCUUGUGGAAGUCAAUUAAGGAUGGUGUUGACGAAUGGUGGGGUGGGAUUAGUAGCUAGUGGUGAUGGUGUUGGCAGUGGAGGUUGAUGGUGGCCGUUGAUAGUUAAGUUGGAUAAUAGUGAUAAUUAAUGGUAAUGGGGACAAUGAUAGUGAUUGUCAAUAUAUAAUGUCGUGAUUAGUGGUUGUUGUAGACUUGUAGUACUGAUGGUUGGUGAAGAAGAUUAUAAAUGAUAGCUAGUGAGGUGAAGGAGCAUCCAAGUGGUAAGCUUGGCCCCUGGAAGCAGAUUUGGAGGAACAAGGUGCCACCAAGGUAAAGUGUUUCUCCGGGUUGGUUGCCAGAAGAGCAUGCUCCACUCAUGAGAAAUUGAAAAGGAGGGGUUUCUAUAUUGCCUCUUGGUGCUCUCUCUGUAAUGAGACUGAGGAAACCAACAACCAUUUGUUCCUCCAUUGCAAAGUGACAACACAAUUUUGGAACCUUUUUUUGGGACCAACACAUACAAAAUGGAUUAUGCCUGAGCAUACAGCAGAUCUACUUAGUUGCUGGAUCAGCAGAGGGGGGAGAAAAUCUAAGAAAAAGUGGUGGAGUAUAAUACCAUCAUGCAUCUGGUGGUGUAUUUGGAAAGAAAGAAAUAGCAGAUGCUAUGAUAACAAAGCUAAUCUAAUAGAGAAAGUCAAAUGGAACUGCUUGACUACUUUUUAUUUUUGGUGUAAAGAGGAAGGGAUAGACCACUCUUGCGAGAAGCCUAUACAUCAGUCCUAAUAUAGUCAAUAGAUUCCAUACAUGAGCUUGGAUAUGUGUUUCUCAAGAGUACAACACCAUGGAUCUCCUUAGGAAUAACAUAAAAUCCAUCAAAGGUUGCACCAAGGAAAAAGGAAACUCUAAAUUUGUUGGAAAAGAUGACGGAAAGAGAUCUAGAAAUUUACCUUCGUGAUCUUUUAAAAGAACCCAAAUACCUUGUGGUGGUCGAUGAUUUAUGGCAAAGAGAAGCAUGGGAAAGUCUAAAACGAGCAUUUCCGGACAGCAAGAAUGGCAGCAGAGUUGUUAUUACCACGCGCAAAGAAGAUGUCGCUGAAAGAGCAGAUAACAAAGGUUUUGUCUAUAGACUUUGUUUCCUGAGCCAAGAAGAAAGUUGGGAUCUCUUUUGUAGGAAACUACUAGAUGUUCAGGCAAUGGUCUCAGCAAUGGAAAGGUUAGCUAAGGAUAUGGUGGACAGGUGUGGAGGUUUACCUCUUGCAAUUGUUGUAUUAAGUGGACUACUUUCACAUAAAAAGGGGUUCGAAGAAUGGCAAAAGGUGAAGGUCCACCUUUGGCAGCACAUUAAAGACGACUCUAUUGAAAUCUCCUACAUACUAUCAUUGAGCUACAAUGAUUUGUCAACUGCGCUCAAGCAGUGUUUUCUGUACUUUAGUAUUUUUCCAGAAGAUCGAGUGCUCGAGGCUGAAAACAUAAUACGGUUGUGGAUGGCCGAGGGUUUCAUACCAAGAGGAGAAGAAAGAAUGGAGGAUGUCGCUGAAGGCUUCUUGAAUGAGCUGAUAAGACGAAGCUUGGUUCAAGUAGCUAAAACAUUUUGGGAAAAAGUUACUGAAUGUAGGGUUCAUGAUUUACUUCACGAGCUUGCCAUACAAAAGGCAUUGGAGGUAAACUUCUUUGACAUUUAUGAUCCAAGAAACCACUCCAUAUCCUCCUUAUGUAUCAGACAUGCCAUUCAUGAUCAAGGAGAAAAGUACCUCUUACUUGAUCUUUCUAACUUAAAGUAAAGGUCAAUUAUAUUCUUCGAUCCAAAUUUUCGGAACAUGAAUCUUAUAAACUUCAGUAGUGUGUUCCAACAUAUAUAUGUGUUAUACUUGGAUAUUCUUGGUGGCACUGUACCUUAUGCCAUAGGAAUUUUGUACCACCUCAAGUUCUUAAGCUUGAGAGGUAUUGGUAAUCUUCCCUCCUCCAUUGGCAACCUCAAGAAUUUACAGACACUUUGUGUCAAAAGUGAAUUUAGACAUUUGUGCCAACUAACCCCCGAGACAGCUGACCUAAUAAAUCUAAGACAUUUAGUUGCUCAGUAUUCUGAACCUCUGGUACGUAUAAGCAAACUCACUAGUCUUCAAAUUCUUAAAGACAUCUCUUGUGAUCAGUGGAAAGAUGUUGACCCUAUUAAUUUAGUCAAUCUUCUUGAAUUAAGCAUGAUUGAUAUUACUAAAUCUUACUCCCUAAACAACAUUAGCAGCUUGAAAAACCUUAGCACUCUCAAAUUGUUUUGUAGAGGUGGUCAAUCAUUCCCAGACCUUGAAUUUCUUUAUUAUUGUGAAAAGCUCCACAAAUUGUGGUUAGAUGGGAGAAUAGAGAAACUGCCUCUGUUACCAAAUUCCAUCACAAUGAUGGUUCUUUUGGAUUCAAAAACUUCAUGGAAGAUCCGAUGCCUAUUUUGGGAAUGUUGCCAAACCUAAGAAAACUCGAAUUUCUUAGAGCUUAUCAAGGAAAAGAGAUAUUCUGCAGUUAUAAUAGCUUCCGUCAACUCGAGUUCCUUAGUCUUGCUUGUCUUGAGAACCUAGACACAUGGCAUUUAGCCACAAGUGCCAUGCUUCUGAUUAAAGGUCUUCGUAUUGAUCACUGUAAAAAGCUGAACAAGAUUCCCCAGAGAAUGAAAGACGUGAAGCUUUUCAAGCAUAUGAGAGGUUUUAUUUGAUAAUAGCAAAGGUAAAUAUUCAAACAAAUCUCAAUCCUACAUAACUUUCUUCAUUUUUUUUCUUUUAUAUAAAUUAAUAUUUGUGUUAAACAGGAGAAGAAGUUGUCACUUGAACCAUUCACCUUCAUCAACUUGGGCUCUCAAUUUACUCAUUAUUUCAACAUUCAGUUUUUUUGUUUUAUUUUGGUUUUUCAAUGUUUCAUUUCUCUCUCUUUUUGUCUUUAUUUAGUGCAUGUGUGGAAUUGGUUCAAAGAGAAUUUGUUUUGGGAUUAUCUCACCUAAUACUAUUUGAGUCAUUUGUCUAAUGGUAGGGAUAUAUGUGAGCCACUUUUGUAAUGAGGGGGAUAUCAAUUCUACAUCGCAAAGUUGAGGGGUAGAUCAUACUUUUUCCCCUAAAAAAUAAAUAAAUUAUGCAUUAGCUUUGUGUAUUACUUGUACCUUGUCUGCAGGUAUAUUUUUUCAAUCUAUGUACACAUAAUACACCCUAUAUAUAAUUAAGAUGCGUAUAACAUUGGACUAUGGAUUUUAACUUUGGGUUUGCCCACUAUAUCAACUACCGCUAGUUAACAUAGACUUCAACAACCACAACUCGGCUAGCUCUAGCCACUAACUCAACUCAUAAUGAAAUGAACUGAUGUAAUCUAUUAUCCUUUAUAGCUUAAGAAUAUAUUUACAAUACGCGAGCACAAAAUCCUAUACUCAAAUAACAACUUAAGGCUUUGUGACACUCGAUCAGGUCCCUUGUUGCAUGUGAGAGUAGUUCUUCCUUGGAAAUGAUUUUUGCUUUUGAUAAUCUUGAUUGCAAAAAUUAGGUUGUUUCUUGUCAACAUAUCCAGUGUAUAAGAGAGACAAAACAACCUAAUAGCAUGUUAUUGGUCGAGGACUGCUGUUCUUUCUACGCGUUUAUUACCGUGCUCACCAAUCACUGCAGUUUCUACAGCUUUACAGUUGCACUCCAUUGACUUAUCCUGAAAGACAAAAACUCAAAGGACCUAGUCCCUUUAUCAGAUAUUAUUUCUCUAUAAUUUGUUAAAUCAUCAGAAUUCAAAAAUACAAAAUUUGAUUGGUUCCAUCAUACAUAGUGUUAAAAAAUUAAAGUAGAUUCGAUGUUACUUUCAUUAUCAUGAUGCCUACCACUUCAAGAAAGCAUCAAUCAAGUUUCUGUUACUUUACUGAUUAUUUCAACUUUUUUUUUGUUUUAGUUUUUCAAUGUUUAAUUUCUUUUUUGUUUUUGGCUUCUUUAAGUGUGUGGAAUUGGUUCAAAAGAGAAUUACGAUACACUUUUUCAAUCAAUGUAUAUAUAAUAUUAUAUAUACAUAGUAUUAAGGUGCGCAUACUAUUGGAUGGUGGAUUUUAACAUCGGGGUUGCCAUAUAAGUUGCAAAAAUCGCAUUCACACGCUUAUCUGGCAUGAAUCAUAGAUAAUGUGACAUGUGGACAAACAUUAUUUUAAGUGGCUCAAGGGUUGAGUAGUAGAGGUGGUCGAUAGGUCCUAGUUCUAGCUGAGGCGUCUAGUAAAGUGAACUCUGCGGAAAAUUUUGAAGGACCGCAGGUGACUUAAGCCUAUAUUCCUUGCCUGUUAACUUAAUAGUGAAGAAGAUAAUACAUAUUUCUAGAAGAAGCUUUAAUACAUAUUUCAAAAAAAAUGUACCUUUCACUUAGCUUGUUGCAACUUUAUCCUUUUUUAUAAUGGUAGUAUAAUCGCAAAUUCUUUUUUCAAAAAACACAUGGUCAUGUUUCAUUUUUUAAAAACAUAAAAUGGACCCUUUGAACACAUGACUAUUUAUGUCUGAGUGCAUAUAUCUCUUAUCUCCCAUUUUCUAACUUGUUUUCUAAUAUACUGCUUCCUCUUUUACAGAUAAAAAUCAAUACUCCUAACGAUGGCUGAUGCCUUUCUGUCAUUUGCAGUUCAGAAAUUGGGUGAUUUCCUCAUUCAGGAAGUUAACCUACGUUUAAGUCUAAGAGAGGAUAUACAGUGGCUGUGAAACGAGAUUCUCUUCAUGCAGUCUUUCCUCAAAGAUGCAGAACUAAAACAAUGUGGAGAUCAUAGAAUUCAACAAUGGGUGUUUGAGAUCAACUCUAUUGCUAAUGAUGCUGUUGCUAUGCUCGAGACUUAUAGAUUCGAGGCUGAUAAAGGUGCUAGUCGUCUCAAGGCUGAGAAAUGAGCUACUCUUCAUACAGUCUUUCCUCAGAGAUGCAGAACUAAAGCAAAGUAGAGAUCAAAGAGUUCAACAAUGGGUGUUUGAGAUCAACUCUAUUGCUAAUGAUGCUGUUGCUAUGCUCGAGACUUAUAGAUUCGAGGCUGAUAAAGGUGCUAGUCGUCUCAAGGCUUGCGCUUGCAUUUGUAGGAAGGAGAAGAAACUCUACAAUGUCGCCAAGGAGAUUCAAUCACUCAAGCAAUGAAUCAUGGAUAUCUCUCGCAAACGAGAGACUUAUGGUGUUACAAAUAUCAAUAGUAAUGCAGGAGAAGGGCCAAGUAAUCAGAUUAUAACAUUGAGGAGAACUACCUCAUAUGUGGAUGACCAGGAUUACAUUUUUGUUGGCUUUCAGGAUGUUGUACAAACAUUGCUAGCUCAACUUAUCAAAGCAGAGCCUCGUCGAACCGUCCUCUCCAUUUAUGGCAUGGGCGGAUUAGGCAAGACCACUCUUGCAAGAAACCUCUACACCAGUCCUAAUAUAAUCUCAAGCUUCCCUACACGCGCUUGGAUAUGUGUUUCUCAAGAGUACAACACAAUGGAUCUUCUUAGGAAUAUCAUAAAAUCCAUCCAAGGUCGCACCAAGGAAACUCUAGAUUUGUUGGAAAGGAUGACAGAAGGAGAUCUAGAAAUUUAUCUUCGUGAUCUACUAAAAGAACGCAAAUACCUUGUGGUGGUUGAUGAUGUAUGGCAGAAAGAAGCAUGGGAGAGUUUGAAAAGAGCAUUCCCGGAUAGCAAGAAUGGCAGCAGAGUCAUUAUUACCACGCGCAAAGAGGAAGUCGCUGAAAGAGCAGACAACAUAAGUUUUGUUCAUAAACUUCGUUUCCUAAGUCAAGAAGAAAGUUGGGAUCUCUUUUGUAGGAAACUACUUGAUGUUCGAGCAAUGAUUCCAGCAAUGGAAAGUCUAGCUAAGGAUAUGGUGGAAAAGUGUAGAGGCUUACCUCUUGCAAUUGUUGUAUUGAGCGGACUACUUUCGCAUAAAAAGGGGCUAAACGAAUGGCAAAAGGUGAAAGACUGCCUUUGGAAGAACAUUAUUGAAGAUAAAUCUAUUGAAAUCUUCAGCAUACUAUCAUUAAGCUUCAAUGAUUUGUCAGUUGCGCUCAAGCAGUGUUUUCUGUACAUUGGUAUUUUUCCAGAAGAUCAAGUGAUCGAUGCUGAAGACAUAAUACGUUUGUGGAUGGCAGAGGGUUUCAUCAUACCCAGAGGAGAAGAAAGAAUGGAGGAUGUCGCUGAAGACUUCUUGAAUGAGCUGAUAAGACGAAGCUUGGUUCAAGUGGCAAAAAUAUUUUUGGAAAAAGUGUAGGGUUCAUGAUUUACUCCGUGAUCUUGCCAUACAAAAGGCAUCCGACACAAACCUCUUUGACAUUUAUCAUCCAAGAAGGCACUCCAAAUCCUCUUCAUGUAUCAGACUUUCCAUUCAUAGUCAAGGAGAAAGGUAUCACUCACUUGAUCUUUCUACUUUGAAGUUGAGGUCAAUUAUGUUCUUCGAUCCAGUUUUUCCUAAUGUGUCCCAACAUAUAUAUUUGUUUCGACAUAUAUAUGUGUUGUACUUGCAUAUGGAUUAUGGUGGUGUUCUACCUGAUGCCAUAGGGAGUUUGUACCACCUCAAGUUGUUAAGCAUUAGAUCAGGUGUCUGUAAUAUUCCCUCCUCCAUUGGCAACCUCAAGAAUUUACAGACACUUGUCAUUGUAAAUGGGUACGCAUCAUUUUGCCGACUAUCCCGCAAGAUAGCUGACCUAAUAAAUCUAAGACAUUUAGUUGUUCAAUAUUCAGAGCCUCUGAAAUGUAUAAACAAACUCACGAGUCUUCAAGUUCUUAAAGGCAUUCGUUGUGAUCAGUGGAAAGAUAUUGACCAUGUUGAUUUAGUCAAUCUUCGAGAAUUAAGCAUGGAUCGUAUCAGGAGCUCUUACUCCCUAAACAACAUUAGCAGCUUGAAAAACCUUAGCACUCUCAGAUUGUCUUGUCAAGAUUAUGAUGAAUCAUUCCCAUCCCUUGAAUUUGUUAAUUGUUGUGAAAAGCUCCAGAAAUUGUGGUUAAAAAGGGAGAAUAGAGAAACUGCCUAAUCUGUUUCCAAAGUCCAUCACAAUGAUGGUUUUGAGGAACUCGGGACUGACAGAAGAUUCGAUGCCUAUUUUGGGAAUGUUGCCAAACCUAAGGAAUCUCAAACUAGAAGAUGUUUAUGAAGGAAAAGAAAUAAUGUGCAGCGAUAACAGUUUUAGUCAACUCAAGUUCCUUAAUCUUGAUCAUCUUCAAAACCUAGAAAGAUGGGAUUCAGGCACAAGUGCAAUGCCUCUCAUUAAAGCUCUUCAUAUCUAUGAAUGUCCAAACCUGAAGGAGAUACCAGAGAGGAUGAUUGACUUGAAGAAGCUUGAAGAGACCAAGUUUUUUUUGUACAAAUAGUGUGUUAAUAUUUGGGUUAAACAGGAGAAGAAGUUGGCAUGAAUCAAGUUGGAUUAUUUCAACAUUCAUUUUUUUUUGUUUGAAUAAAAUCAAUAUUAUUUUAUAAAGCAUAUAAUAAAUUAUUAUCAUAGCAAUUAACUAUCAUGUUUAGUUUUUCGGAGCACUUUUAAUAUUUGAUUAUAAAAUAGUGUCGGCUAUAAUGCUUAGGAUCGAAGAGAGUUGAUCAGCAUUCGGCAUUUUUUGAUGCUAUUUUAUAAAGCACAUGUGAUUAUACCGUUUAAGCUAUUUUUUGCACCUAUUAAAUAAAUUCGGAGAUUAUCAUUCAAAUGAAGUUAGCAAAUUAAAUAGAAAAAUCUAGACUUAAUAAGAAUGUACCUGAAAAUUAGAAGACACACUUUUGUACUAGCUUAACGACAGAAGCAUAUAUUGAAUGACUGAUAUUAGGUACAGUAAAACCUCACUAAAUUAAUACUCAAUAAAUUAAUAAUCUCUCUAAGAUAAUAUUUUUUUUGGGUCCCGGCUUGGGCCAAUAGAAAAAAUCACUUAUUUCGAUAAGUUAAUAUGAUAAUAUAUUUUCAACAAACCCCUAUAUAAAUAUAUGGUCCCAUCAAUAUUAUAAAUUAAUAAUUCCUUAAAAGUACAAAUAUAUCUAAGACGAUUUAGUGAAAUGUGAUUCUAUUGUGUUUUUUUUUUNNNNNNNNNNNNNNNNNNNNNNNNNNNNNNNNNNNNNNNNNNNNNNNNNNNNNNNNNNNNNNNNNNNNNNNNNNNNNNNNNNNNNNNNNNNNNNNNNNNNNNNNNNNNNNNNNNNNNNNNNNNNNNNNNNNNNNNNNNNNNNNNNNNNNNNNNNNNNNNNNNNNNNNNNNNNNNNNNNNNNNNNNNNNNNNNNNNNNNNNNNNNNNNNNNNNNNNNNNNNNNNNNNNNNNNNNNNNNNNNNNNNNNNNNNNNNNNNNNNNNNNNNNNNNNNNNNNNNNNAAUAGGACCUUAGUAAAGGUUAGGUGUGUCUUAGGGAUUUUGGCAUAGGCUGAGGGGGUACUUAUGCAUUUUCCCAAAUUUAAUUCUAGUUGAAGGUCAUCUUUAACUUUUCUUAUUACAUCAAAAAGUUCUGGUGUUGUUUUUUCGAACGACACCAUAAAAUUGUGAAUAGUUCUAGAUGCGAUAAGUGUUUUCUUACGCGUAACUGGUUGCAAAGGUAUUAUAUCAUCUUCAACUUCAUCAUCCACGUUGUUUUUUUAUGGUAUCCACAAUUUCUUCUAACUAAUGGACUCUGAACAUGUAUCACUUUCAUCCAGGUAAUCCAAAAGGUUAUUGAUGUUAAUUUUUUUGCGGUAACGGGGAUCAUUGAUCAUGGCCUCAAAUUCAUGAAUGACGUUUUCACAAAACACUCUUUAAAUUAAUAAAUAUUAAUUUAUUGAUUAAAUAAACCUCUACAAAAUAAUAAUAUUUCAUUGGCCCACCUAUAUUAAUUUAGUGUGAUUUUAUUAUAUGUUUAUACAGUGUAGUCUUGAAGAUUUGAUGGUAAAAACUCUUUCGUAUUCCUCAAUCACUUAAUUUGAUUCCUUUCAAGUUUUCAACUAUUAAAGUAGGUUCUCAUUUACUCCCCUAUUAUGUUAAUUUAAAUAUUAUUAUUUAAUUAGAUAUUUAAUUUAUGUUUAGAGUAAUUAUUUUAUUACAUUUUAAUUUAGUAUAGGAUCAAAAUGGUAAUCUAAUUUUACACGUGAUAGAUUUUCACUUUUGAUAAUAUAUGAUGAUGAUAAUUUAAUUAAGAUAUAUCUCUAUAAUUUCGAUCAUAGUCUAGGGGUAGUUGUCUCUUAUCCCAAUUUUAAUCACAUAAGUGGACACACUAUAUACUCUCACAUUUAUGUCUUACUACUUCUGAGUGUAUUCCAAUAUACACCCCCCACCCCCCUCUUAUUUUCAAUCAAAAGUAGUAUUCCUGAAGAUGGCUGAUGCCUUUCUGUCAUUUGUAGUUCAAAAAUUGGGUGAUCUUCUAAUACAGGAAGUUUCCAUGCUUACAAGUCUGAGAGAUGAAGUUAAAUGGCUGAAGAAUGAGCUACUCUUCAUGCAGUCUUUCCUCAAAGAUGCAAAACAAAAGCAAUGUGGAGAUCAAAGAGUUCAACAAUGGGUGUUUGAGAUCAACUCUAUUGCUAAUGACGUUGUUGGUAUACUCAAGACUUAUAACUUCGAGGUUGGUAAAAGUGAUGACAUUGGAUUUGCUAGUUGUCUCAAGAAAUAUAUUCUACAAUGUCGCCAAGAUGCCAAGGAGAUCCAAUCACUCAAGCAACGAAUCAUGGAUAUUUCUCGCAAACGAGAGACUUAUGGUAUUACAAAUAUCGAUAAUAAUGCUGGAGAAGGUCCAAGCAAUCAGCCUUCCAUGGUUACAACAUUGAGGAGAACUAACUCCUAUGUGGAUGAUCAGGGUGACAUUUUUGUUGGAUUUCAGGAUGUUGUAGAAAGAUUGUUGAAAAUUGUUUUUAGUUACUGCAGUAGACUUUAGUAUAAGAAGUUGCUAGGUUUAAGAUUUUUGAAUUUUAAAUUAUGCAGAUUUUGUGUUUAAGUUGGUUACUUCCAGUUGUUUUUUUUUCUCAAAUCUCUCAAGGUAGAGAUAAAAUAUGGGUACAUACUACCUUUCUCAGAUCCCACUUAUGGGAUUACGUUGGGUAUGUUGUUGAAGUUUUCACUAGUCCAAAUCAAAUGUCAUUCUAAUAGGCUCAUAGCUUUUAUACCUUUAUAAAGGUUGUUCAUUUGAUCCCAAGAUCCAAAUAAGGCUACAAAGUCAAUGUCUUAGUACUUGGUCGAAUAAGUGUAUCUUAAGAUCAUCCAGUUAACAAUCAAAGACACUGACAAUCAGAAUAUCCUCUAUGCACAAUGCAGCUAUGUAAUAAAGCUCACAACUCGAUUAAGGCUGCAACAUGUAAUUUGUUUUGUUUAUUUUAUGACACGAGAUGAAAUCAUGCAUCUACAAGCAUAUUCAUACUGAAUUGCACAACUACUUCAGAGUUCUGAGCAUAGCUUCUCACAAAGAGGAUUCGGUGAUCGCUGAGACAAAAUUUGAUGAAUGGCACACUGGCAAAUUGCAGUCAGACUGUCGAGACAUAAAAUUGAUCUCCAGCAGUCCAAGCCAUUACAUUUGCGGAAAGAAAUGGAUUUUUCAGAUCAAAACUAUUUCCGCUAUCCUGCUAAGCCUGAAGUUUGAGCAGAAACUAACAUCAGCUGAUGAUCAUCUUGUUCAGGAAUUCAGCUUGCUCAGGAAAGUAUUCCAACAGUUCAUCUUUGGUCACCCAGACAAAAUCAUCACAUUUUCUAAUAUCAAACUUGUUGGCUGCAAUAACUUGGGAUUUGAAGAAGAAGCGCUGCCACAAUAAAAUAUAGAAUAUAUACAUAAGAAGCACAAACUUUGCAGAAGCUAUCAGGGAAUUUCCCUCCCUCCGUCCCUCGCUCCAUGUGGGAUGACAGAAUUUCUUACUGUCCUUUUCUUCAAUACUUCAAUAAUUAAAAUGUACAUACCUUGAUUGACGGGAUUUUCUUGUCUUCAGUGGAUUGCAUGACCAUAUGACCCAUAGGGGCAUUUCCAACAAAAUAUGUAUGUGAAAGAUCUCCAAUGAAAGAUUCUAGAGCAGACUCAGCACACUGCAAAUAGUUGCAACUUAUAUUCAUUUUUCUAACCCAAAUUACUGAAAUCACCAAAGAAAUGGACUGACUAAGUACUAGUUACCUUGCGCAAAUUCUCUUCAGACUCGUAAACUUUUUCAGGGAAAUGCCAGACAGGCUUUCCACUACCUUGUGUGGCACCAUGGACUAGAAGAUAGAGUCUCCUGUCUAGUGCUCGAUGUAAUGACCUUGUGCAUAUCAACAAAAUUUCAUAAUCAGUAACAUGAAAUACUAACCAGCAGAAGGAAACAAAAGCUUUGAAUAUCUGUUGACACAUUAUUCAUGUUCAGGAAAAUGCAAAGGUUUUGUAUAGGGUUAGUACCUUUUAGCAAAGUUUGACCAAGUGAUGAGUUGAAAAACAGACGCAAGCUUUAUUUUGUGGUGUAGAGGGUGAAGAAGGCAUAUAAAAGGAAAAAAAAAGCAACAGUAGCUCUCCAUUCUUAAUUUUAAAUACUUACACAAUGCACAAUUAGACAAAUCUCAUGUAACUAACACAUCAAUUACUUUGAGACAAUAUUAAGGCAUUUCGACAUUAAAAAUUUAGUUAUGGUAAACAAUUUAGAAGUUAAUAAUUACCUAUUGUCAGGAAAUAUGAGUCUGCUGAAUUUAGGUAAAGCAACUCUUGAAAGAAAAAUAUCUUCUAGUGCAAUGUCCAUAUUCAAAUUCUUGUAUAAUAUUUGACAAAUGUUAGAAGUUCAAGCUAUAGUACCUUUGAUCAUUAGUCUUAUCUGCUUCUGAGAUUCGAGGAGCGGGUUUAUAAUCAAUUUGAUAAUCACCUUUUCCCCUGCAUGUAAAAUAUAGAUGUAACGGUGCCACUUGACCAUGUGGCAUUUGACACUAGACAGAACAGUAUGUGAUAGCAUGUUCAAGAAGAACCAUGUACAUAAUUAAUGGCUAAUAAGGAAGAAUGCAUGAAAGAAAAGGCAAUAAUACUACACAAGCCAAGGAGUAAAAAUCAGUUGGAUCAUACUGCUAAAAGAGGAGACAGUGUUUACUCUCCAACAUGCAUACUGUUGCAUGCAGAGAUCUCAAUUUCUUAAAACGUGAUCUAUAUAGAUACAAAAGAGAUUAGGCCAUUUUUACCACCAUGUACUUUUUCUGAAUAGAAAGUAAAGUUUUUAAAUUGUAAAUGGCCAAUGCUAAGAUAGUAAUGCUCACUGCCCAGUACCAAAGGGUAUUCUCCAAGUUACAGAAACCAAUUUCUCAUGGGACCAAGUUACUAUUAUUUCUUUUUCUGCUUUUGAGUUAAGCUUAUAAAUUUUUUCCAACAAAUGAUUGGCAACAAAGGGAUUUUUUUUAAAGUGAACCGAGGGGGUAUAAUAGUAUAUUAAUGAGAUUCAUGCAUAUGUUUAGGAGGGGUGAACCAGAAAUAAUUAUAGGUAUAGCCAUCUUUAUUAUGUUCCCUAGCUUCUCAUGUUUUGAUGUGCUACGUUUUCCAAGAAAAAAUCAUCACAGAUUUGAAGGGAAGAGAGAACCACAACUGCAACUCGGAGUACUAUGCCAUUUAUUCUUUUUCUGGAGUCAACAGAAGCUUAACGUAUUUGUGAAAAAAUUACAUUUUAUUAAGUUUAAUCAUAUAGUUCUUGCACAAAGGAAUCCCAAAAGUUUUCAAACAAGAAAGGAGUAAAAGGGCUAAAACGCCAAAAAUCUAUUAACUUUUGUCAGUAGUGGAAGCGACAAUUAUUCAUGUCUUCCUGCUGUAAAGUAAAUUCUGCAAUCUAUGGGGCUGAUAGGUUUAGAAUGCUUGACAGCAAUUGUAUGGAUUAAUGGUGGAGAAGUCCAAACUGGAAGAAAGGCAUGUUUGUGCAAAAUGAAUCAGAAACUGAGAAGAUUAGUUUCCAGAAAUUUAGACUUCAGAAAGCUAGAUAGUCAAGAGUAAAAUAUUGGUAAGAUAAGGAAAACCUUGAAAUCUCUCCAUGACCAAUUGUGCCAUUAGUUUUAGUAAGCCAUAAUGAAUGUGUUUUAUUUAGUAUUUAUGACAGAUUCCAUGCCUGUUGCAAUGAGCUCUUUUUCCUCAACUGUUUACCCACUUCUUUGUUCAGUUGUGAGUACAAAUCCUUCCUUUUAACUGCUAAUGGUAGUUUAAAAAGAGAACUUGACCUAGAAAGAAUAUUUUCCCAGAUUUUCAAAUUCAGGAGUUCUGAAAACUAGCAAAAUACCUCUAGUGCUGGAUUCCAGAACUUAAAGUCUUAAACAAUCUAAGGAAAACAGAAAAGCACUAAACUACAAUCAUAAACAAGGAGUUACUAAUAAUUAUUUUGCAAAAUUUAUCACCCAUCCAAAUUUUGAACUUAUGGUUUAAUUCUUGGUUAUUUUCUUUGUCGUGGAUGGAAUCAACCCGUGCUGCUCAUAACCUUUUUUAAUCACUGUAUGCAGAACAGAGAUGAUUCUUCCCUGAAGAAAAUUCACCAGUACUUACACCAAGAUCUCUCAUUUAGACAAACUCUAUUUCUAGAGUAAAGAAGAAUGCUCAGAAAAUCUUCAAAACUUUUCGACUUUUAAGCGCUCUUCAUGCUAUUAAACUCCUAAAGCAAUUUCACUGGUCUAUUAUGUUUUAACUUAUUUCAUGCAUCCUAUGCACACUCUUCAUACCAUUCAUCAGUUAACAUUUCAUAAAUGAAGAUACAUAAUUCACAAAAAGAGGUAUUAAAUGGCAAGGUGUAAUUCAAGCAAUGCAACAGAAAUGUACCUGGUAUCAGACUUCUUCAGAAAACUUUCUGGAUACUCUCGCCGAUAUUGCUGCCUCCAACGAAACCUAUAAAAGAAAUUAAUAAUAAAAUUAUUGCAAUCAACUAAACACCGAUUACAUUAAACAAUCAUCUACAUUGUCAUUCGCCAACUCUUAUUCAUGAACCUUUGCUCUUUUUUAUCCUUCUCAUUUUCUCCUUUUGCUGGCAUCUUAGUUACCAACCCAUUCUAUAACCUCAUUAUUCUCAACUUCAUUACACAUUAUCUCCUAGUAUUAGAAACCACUGCAAAAUUUUGGACAAAAGAAACUCUUUUCUUUCUUAGAUAUACUUCGUCAAACUUACAAAAUAGUGAAGAUUCAUAAAUUUGACCUGACUAAUUUGGGAUUGAGGCAUAAUUAUUGUUUUUUAGUACUAUUUUUCUCAAGCAAACAUAUCAAAGUACCCCUUAAUCCCUAAUUAACCAUCACAGUUUCUGGAAAGCGAAAAAAAUAAUUUUGAUCAUUCUAUUAUACGAACCAGCAUUUAUAUGAUUUAGGAACGAUAGUACACCCGUAUAAGCUAAUGAACUUAUAGCUCUAAAAGUAAAUCAUUGUAAUUGGAUUACAAAAGGCUUGAUUACAUUUCGAUUUCGUGCAACAAUUGAACAGAAAAAAGUAAAACUUACGAAAAUUCUUGAAAAGCAUAUACAGUAGGAUUGAUUUUGGGAACCACUACCGGUAAUCUUUCGAAGAGCACUGAAGCGACAAUUUUAUCAUUGUUGGAUGAAGAAAACCAUCGUUUACCUAUCGCAGAUCGACCCGCAGAUGAACAGCACCUCUGCAUUUUCAUAAACCCUAGAAACCCAAAUUCCACAGUACUGACAGGGAAUUGAAAUUUCUCGGGUUGAAAUUUAUGGGCUUGGGAUUCAGAUUGGAAUUUAUGGGCUUGGGACUUGGGUUGAAGUAUGAAAUUUCAAUAAAGAUUAUUAAACUUAUCUAUUCUUUAAGUAUUGAUUUUUCAGCUUAUAAACACUUUUAGUUUGAUCAAUCGUUGUAUUAUUGUAUCUCUACCAUAUUUUAGUAUUGCUUGAUCCAAAGGCGGUGAAAUUUUCAUCUGUUGCGUGGAGUAUAUAUUAUUUUCAUAUUGCUUUUAUUCCAUAUCUUAUUGUAAAGCUUAAAUAGUUUUCACUUCAUAUUUAUGUAUUGAUUCAGUUGAGUUGUUUUAUGGGGGAUAAUGUGUUUUGUUAAACAUAAGUAUCAAUACUAGUUGAUCUUAUUGAUGACAAAAUUGAUUUUCUUGCAAGAUCAAUUUGUGUCCGUCUAGUAUUGACACUUAGUGUCACGCUCCCAGCCUACACCCUGGACGUGACAGAUGUGUUGGGUAUUAAUUACUCGGAGUUUCUUACCAUAAAUAGGUUUUUCUUUUUAAGAAAAGGUUUUAAUAUUUGGCUAAUUAUUUUCUUGUAGGAAAAGGUUUAGGACUCUAUAAAUAGAGGUUUGUUCUUCUAACUUAAUCAGCAUUCACAAUGUAGUCCUAGGGUUUUGAGAGUUUCGGUUAUGAGGGAGAAUUUGUGAACCUCUUUGUAUUCCAAGUGAAUUGGUUGAGGUUGUUUCUCUCUAUAUUUUGUACUCUCAUAUUUAUAUAGUGGAUUUCUCGUCUCCUUUGUGGAUGUAGGUCGAUUGACCGAACCACGUUAAAUCUUUGUGUCUUUUGGUAUAUUUCUCGUUUGUUUUCUUACUCGUGGUCUUUCGAAGUUUGUUUUGCUAGUUUCUACAUGACACCUAAUUAUUUUCGAUCCUAACGCGAUGAUGCAACAAGUAAGGCAUAUUGCUUGUAUUUUGAGCAUUGGUCGUUAAACCUCAAAUCGUCUUGUUUGUUUUCCAACUGGAGUUAAGUAGAAUCGAGAGGAUUCAUUUGUGGAAAAUUAUAUAGUUUAUACAUAGUUAAAAUAAAUACAUUUUAUGUAUAUAUAUAUAUAUGGUAGAAUUGAUUUCUUCGUGUAUUUACUUCUUCAUAUCAUAAUUUAAACUAAUGAAAAGUCGUAUUCUGUCAAUGUGAUAUCUACGCAAGGAAAUCACAAAUGUAACUUGUUGGUUUCUUUUUUUUCUGUGUUUGAAAAUACUUUUAACCCAUGUUAAAAGUGAAACACAACACGAAAGUUAAAAACAAGAAAGCUUCCACCAUAGAAAUAUUAAUAAUACUGGUAACAUAUGCCCCAACAAGGGGGGAUUAUAUUACUACUAGUGAAACAAAGCAAUUAGGAAAAAAAAAAAAAAAAGACCAACAUGGCUUCAUUCUUGAUUCUACACUUGACUUAGAGUUUGCCAAAUGAGUGAGCAAGGUAAGUGGCAGGUUCAGAUUGCUCGUAAUCUGAACGAUCGUCUGGGAAAUGAUCGUGCUGAUCAGGACCACCCACCACAGCCCCCACUAGUAUGUUCGGGUUUGGUGAUUGUGAAUUCAUCACACUGAAACCAGACCUGCAUUGUAUCUUUGCUGGAUGGUUCGCGAUUGAGGAUCCCCUGUGAUGAAUCCUCUGUGGAUACCUAGCUCCAUGUAUGAUAUUUUUAGUGAAUUGUCUCCUAACAAAUAGUCCACCUGUGCGUUCAAAAAAAAGGAACGAGGCUUAACUUUUAUGCACUGAUUAAAUCCUCUUGUCCAUCACACCAAACGACCCCUGAGGGUUUGCUAUAUACUUAAAAUAUUCACUUUCAUUGUUGAGCUAGGGGUGUGCAAAAACCGAUUUAACCAAUAAACCGAACCGAAAAAAAUACUAUUGAUUUAUUGAUAUUGGGUUAUUGGGCUAACGGUUUUUAAACGGUUUUGCAAAAAAAUUUAUUGGGUUAUUGGUUCGGUUUCCGGUUUUAUAAUUUUUGUUAAUGAUUAAACCGAUAACCCAAUAAGACUAUACUAAAUUUACUUUUAUUGGGUUAUUGGUUUGGUUUCCGGUUUUAUAUUUUUUGUUAAUGGUUAAACCGAUAACCCAAUAAGACUAUACUAAAUUUACUAGUCUUAUUGUUAAUGGUUAAACGAUUGUUACUUUCACACUUUUUCCUUUGAAUGUGUCUAGUGUCUAAACUUGCAAGAAAAAUGAUUGUUACUUUUAUGAUUAUUACUUUCAUGCUAAAUGCUGGAAAAAUCAUAUGGUUUAUUUGAAAAUUUUCUUAUCGUGUAUAUAAUAUAUAUGAGUAUUUUCUUAUUGGUUAAACCGAAAACCGAACCGUUAAGUACCAUAAACCGAUUAACCAAAAACCGAUAAGAAAUAUGUUAUUGGUUUGGUUAUCGGUUUGAUGUAUUUACAAACCGAAAACCGAUAAACCGAACCAAUAACACCUAAAACCGAACCGAACCGACCGAUGCGCACCCCUAUGUUGAGCAAUGUGAUAAAAAGAAAGUCAAAGUACACACAAUAUUCAGCACUAGCAAAGUUCUGGGAAGGACCGCACCAAAAAAUAGGGCACAUUUCACUUUCAUUGCUCUAAUUUUUGAAAAUGGGAACACUUUGAUUUUCUCCUAUUCAUCCACAUUUGUGUUUGACAUAUUUGACAAUAUUAUUUCUUUUUAUUAUGUGAACCAUUGGACAAUAAUACAUAUAAUUAUUACUUUAAGACUUUUCUCCGUAGAUAUUUUCCCACAAGUUGUUUAAUGGUUGUUGAAUAAGCUUUAACACAUAUUUCAACAAUUACACAAGUGGAGCCUUUGAACACACUAUUUAUCUCUACUGCUUCUGAGUGUAUAUCUCUAAUCCCAAUAUACAUCCCCCUCUUUUCCAGAUAAAAAUCAACACUUCUGAAGAUGGCUGAUGCCUUUGUGUCAUUUGCAGUUCAAAAAUUGGGUGAUUUCCUCAUACAGCAAGUUUCCCUGCGUAAAAAUCUGAGAGAUGAAGUUAGAUGGCUGAGAAAUGAGCUACUCUUCAUGCAGUCUUUCCUCAGAGAUGCAGAACUAAAGCAAUAUGGAGAUCAAAGAGUUCAACAAUGGGUGUUUGAGAUCAACUCUAUUGCUAAUGAUGCUGUUGCUAUACUCGAGACUUACAGCUUCGAGGCUGGUAAAGGUGAUGACGAUGGAUUUGCUAGUCGUCUCAAGGCUUGCGCUUACAUCUGUAGGAAGGAGAAGAAAUUCUACAAUGUCGCCAAGGAGAUUCAAUCACUCAGGCAACGAAUCAUGGAUUAUAACAGUCCUAAUAUAGUCAAUAGCUUCCCUACACGCGCUUGGAUAUGUGUUUCUCAAGAGUACAACACAAUGGAUCUCCUUAGGAAUAUCAUAAAAUCCAUCCAAGGUUGCACUAAGGAAACUCUAGAUUCGUUGGAAAGGAUGACAGAAAGAGAUCUAGAAAUUUACCUUUGUGAUCUAUUAAAAGAGCACAAAUACCUUGUGGUGGUUGAUGAUGUAUGGCAGAGAGAAGCAUGGGAGAGUUUGAAAAGAGCAUUCCCGGAUGGCAAGAAUGGCAGCAGAGUCAUUAUUACCACGCGCAAAGAGGAUGUCGCUGAAAGAGCAGACAACAGAGGUUUUGUCCAUAAACUUCGUUUCCUAAGCCAAGAAGAAAAUUGGGAUCUCUUUAGUAGGAAACUACUUGAUGUUCGAACAAUGGCUCCAGAAAUGGAAAGUCUAGCUAAGGAUAUGGUGGAAAAGUGUAGAGGCUUACCUCUUGCAAUUGUUGUAUUGAGCGGACUACUUUCGCAUAAAAAGGGGCUAAACGAAUGGCAAAAGGUGAAAGAUCACCUUUGGAAGAACAUUAAAGAAGAUAAAUCUAUUGAAAUCUCCAAGAUACUAUCCUUAAGCUACAAUGAUUUGUCAACUGCACUCAAGCAGUGUUUUCUCUACUUUGGUAUUUUUCCACAAGAUCAAGUGCUCGGGGCUGAUAGCAUAAUACGGUUGUGGAUGGUCGAGGGUUUCACACCCAUAGGAGAAGAAAGAAUGGACGAUGUCGCUGAAGGCUUCUUGAAUGAACUUAUAAGACGAAGCUUGGUUCAAGUGGCAAAAACAUAUUGGGAAAGAUUUACUGAAUGUAGGGUUCAUGAUUUACUCCAUGAUCUUGCGAUACAAAAGGCAUUGGAAGUAACUUCUUUGACAUUUAUGAUCCAAGAAGCCACUCCAUAUCCUCUUUAUGUAUCAGACAUGUGAUUCAUAGUCAAGGAGAAAGGUACCUCUCACUUGAUCUUUCUAACUUAAAGUUGAGGUCAAUUAUGUUCUUCAAUCCAAAUUUUCGUAAGAUGAGUCUUAUAAACUUCAGGAGUGUGUUCCAGCAUCUAUAUGUGUUGUACUUGCAUAUGCAUGGUGGGAAUAUGUCUAUAGUACCUGAUGCCAUAGGAAGUUUGUACCACCUCAAGUUCUUAAGAUUGAGAGGCAUCCAAGGUCUUCCCUCUUCCAUUGGCAACCUCAAGAAUUUACAGACACUCUAUGUCAAUGACGGCAUACAGUAUUGUGAACUACCCCAUGAGACAGCUGAGCUAAUAAUUCUAAGACAUUUUGUUGCCCUGUAUUCAAAACCUCUGGAACGUAUAAGCAAACUCACUAGUCUUCAAGUUCUUCAAAACAUCUGUUGUGAUCAAUGGAAAGAUGUUGACCCUGUUGAUUUAGUCAAUCUUCGAGAAUUAAGCAUGCAUGAUAUUACCAAACCUUACUCCCUAAACAACAUUCGCAGCUUGAAAAACCUUAGCACUCUUAGAUUGUUGUGUUGUGCUGAUGAAUCAUUCCCAUCUCUUGAAUUUGUUAAUUGUUGUGAAAAGCUCAAGAAAUUGAGGUUAGAAGGGAGAAUAGAGAAACUGCCUCAUCUGUUUCCAAAUUCCAUCACAACGAUGGUUCUGAGGUUCUCAGUACUGACAGAAGAUCCGAUGCCUAUUUUGGGAAUAUUGCCAAACCUGAGGAAUCUCGAUUUGCUUAGAGCUUAUGAAGGAAAAGAAAUAAUGUGCAGUAAUAACAGCUUCAGUCAACUAGAGUUCCUUCAUCUUUAUGAUCUUGAGAAGCUAGAAAGAUGGGAUUUAGGCACAAGUGCCAUGCCUCUGAUUAAAGGUCUUGGUAACGAUGACUGUCCAAAUUUAAAGGAGAUUCCCGAGAGAAUGAAAGACGUGGAGCUGUUGAAGAGGAAUUAUACGUGGUGAAGCUUUUCUAGCAUAUAUCAUCUCUUAUUUCGGCCUCUUCAAAAUCUAAGAGGUAUUGAUGGGGGAAUUUCUGCCAAGCACUUGAAGACAUUGGUUAUUUCAGGGCUGUCAAUGAGAGUGGUUUUAGUGUUUGAUUUCUUAUUGUUUUAAGCUUUUUGAGUGAGUCUAAUUGGUUUGAACAUAAUUGUUUUUGACAAAAAUGAUUUUGUGAUGUAUUAAUUAAUUGUCUACUGUAUGUUCCCUUACUUAUCCACAUUUAAGACAAUGCUUUAUAUGUUAAAUUAAAACUUGUCCACAAUUUAGUAUUUUUUGUUCCUCCUUGAAUAGCAAAGGAGUUCAUUUAUCUAACUAACUUCGGUAUAUUAAGUUUUUGGUUUUUGGUUUCAGACAGAUUCGAAAACUACUUAUACUGUAAAAUUAGAGAUGCAACGCAUACCAAAAUAAUCCAAUCAUUAGAAGUCUAAUUUACUGACUCAAAUUUAAUUACAUGCCUUUUUCACCUAACUGACUCUAGAUUUGUUGGGAAGGAUGAUAGAAGGAAGGAGAUCUAGAAAUUUACCUUCGCGAUCUAUUAAAAGAAUGCAAAUGUGAUGUAUGGCAGAGAGAAGCAUGGGAGAAUUUGAAAAGAGCAUUCCCGGAUAGCAAGAAUGGAAGCAGAGUUAUUAUACCACGCACAAAGAGGAUGUCGCUGAAAGAGCAGACGACAGAGGUUUUGUCCAUAAACUUCGUUUUCUAAGCCAUGAAGAAAGUUGGGAUCCCUUUUGUAGGAAACUACUUGAUGUUCGAGCAAUGACCUCAGCAAUGGAGAGGCUAGCUAUGGAUAUGGUGGACAAGUGUAGAGGCUUACCUCUUGCAAUUGUUGUACUGAGCGGACUACUUUCGCAUAAAAGGGGGCUAGAUGAAUGGCAAAAGGUGAAAGAUCACCUUUGGCAGAACAUUGAAAACAACUCGAUUGAAAUCUCCUACAUACUAUCAUUGAGCUCUAACGAUUUGUCAACUGCACUCAAGCAGUGUUUUCUGUACUUUGGCCUUUUUCCAGAAGAUCAAGAGGUCGAUGCUGAAUACAUAAUAUGGUUGUGGAUGGCCGAGGGUUUCAUACCUAAUGGAGAAGAAAGAAUGGAAGACGAAGCUUAGUUCAAGUGGCUGGAACACUUUGGGAGAAAGUUCUUCUGUGUUGGGUUCAUGAUGCAGUUCGUGAUCUUUCCAUACAAAAGGCAUUGGAGGUAAACUUCUAUGACAUUUAUAAUCCAAGAAACCAUUCCAUAUCACAACGCGCCAAGGGGAUGUCGCUGAAAGAGCAGACGAUAGAGGUUUUGUCCAUAAACUUCGUUUCCUAAGCCAAGAAGAAAGUUGGGACCUCUUUUGUAGGAAACUACUUGAUGUUCGAGCAAUGGUUCCAGCAAUGGAAAGUCUAGCUAAGGAUAUGGUGGGAAAAUGUAGAGGCUUACCUCUUGCAAUUGUUGUAUUGAGUGGACUACUUUCGCAUAGAUGGGGGCUAGACAAAUGGCAAAACGUGAAAGACUGCCUUUGGAAGGACAUUGAAGAAGACUCUAUUGAAAUCUCCUACAUACUAUCAUUAAGCUUCAACGAUUUGUCAUCUGCGCUCAAGAAGUGUUUUCUCUACUUUGGUAUUUUUCCAGAAGAUCGAGUGAUCUAUGCUGAAGACAUAAUGCGGUUGUGGAUGGCAGAGGGUUUCAUCAUACCAAGAGGAGAAGAAAGAAUAGAGGAUGUCGCUGAAGGCUUCUUGAAUGAGCUGAUAAGACGAAGCUUGGUUCAAGUGGUGGAUACAUUUUGGGAAAAAGUUACUAAUAUUACAAUCGAACUACACGAAACAAUAGUUAUCAACAAAAAGAUUUUCUUCAUGCCAAAAACACACUGAAUUGUAUUGGCAAUCUAUUAUUUGGUUAACACUUGAUUCUGUCCUGAUCAUUAUGAUUAAUCAUCAAUUUAGGUUAUUGAUAAAUCUUUUUUUCUUUAUUGUUUACUAUUCUCAUAUUAAAUAGUGUGUUACAAUUUUGGUGAAUAGGAGAAGCAGCAGCUGUCAGGUGUGGAACUUUUGCCAAGCAGUUCAAGAAAUUUACAUGGAGCAAGUCGGAUUUUAGAAAUAAUAAGCAUGUUUCUUUUUGUUUUGGCUUUAGGUCAUGUGUUUAAAUUACAACGGUGACAUUCAAGAUUUUUUUAAAGAAAAAUCUCCUUGUAUAAAUUUCUUGUUCCGCCACUGCCCACGUUUUGUUUCUUGUCAUAACUAAGUAUUAAAUAAGUAUGAGAUUUUAAGUUCGAGUUGCACCAAGGAAACUCUAGAUUUGUUGGAAAAGAUGACAGAGAGAGUUCUAGAAAUUUACCUUCGUGAUCUUUUAAAAGAACCCAAAUACCUUGUGGUGGUCGAUGAUUUAUGGCAUAGAGAAGCAUGGGAAAGUUUGAAACGAGCAUUUCCAGAUAGCAAGAACGGCAGCAGAAGUAUUAUUACCACACGCAAAGAGGAUGUCGCUGAGCAGAUAACAAAGGUUUUGUCUAUAGACUUCGUUCCCUGAGCCAAGAAGAAAGUUGGGAUCUCUUUUGUAGGAAACAACUUGAUGUUCGGGCAAUGGUCUCAGCAAUGGAAAGGCUAGCAAAGGAAAUGGUGGACAAGUGUGGAGGUUUACCUCUUGCAGUUGUUGUACUAAGCGGACUACUUUCACAUAAAAGGGGGUUCGAAGAAUGGCAAAAGGUGAAGGACCACCUUUGGCAAAACAUUAAAGACGACUCUAGUGAAGUCUCCUGCAUACUAUCAUUGAGCUACAACAAUUUGUCAACUGCGCUCAAGCAGUGUUUCCUGUACUUUGGUAUUUUUCCAGAAGAUCACGUGGUCCAUGUUAAUCACAUAUUAUGGUUGUGAUUGGCUGAAGGAUUCGUACCAACAGGUAAAGAAAUAAUGGAAGAUGUUGCUAAAGGCUUCUUGAAUGAGCUGAUAAGACGAAGCUUGAUACAAGCGGCAAGAACAUUUUGGGAAAAAGUUAGUAAAUGUAGGAUUCAUGAUCUACUUCGCGAUCUUGCUGUAAAAAAAGCAUUGGAGGUAAACUUACAAUAAUAUUAAUUGUGUGUUUUGAAAUUCAUGCUUACAAUAUAUUUUUUUUGAAAAAAUAAAAAGUGAAUAAUAUUAUAUUUUUAUCCAAAAAAAAUAAUACUAAAUACCUAAAAAGCUUCUUCCAUUCUAGUUGAUAUGUCAUGUCAUUAAAUCAUCCUUUAAAAAAUAAUAGACCUAUUUAAUUCAUCAAACUUAUGUCUCUACAAAACAAAUAUAUAAAUUACAUGAGAAUUUAUGAAGAUUAUAAAAAAAAAUCUAAUUCCUUUAUAUAUUUUUACCAAACAAAAUUCAAUGAAAAAACCUCUGUGCGCAAUUAUUACCUGGUAAUUUUAAAAAUUUCACAGUAAAUUAUUUGAACAUUUUAAGCAAGUUUUUCAUAAAAGUAUUCAAAUAAAUUUGUAAGGUUGACAAAAAAAAGUUGGUAAGAAAGAGAAAAUUAUUAUUUCAACUUUUUUUAAUUUAAUUUUUAUUUUUAUUCUUUUAUUCUAUAUUAUAUUAUAUUAUAUUUUAACUUCUCAUUACAAUUUAAAACACCAAUAUAUUUUCUUAUCUCAUCCUAAAUUCAUGAAAUACAAGUAAUAAUUAAUUGAAUUGCCUAUACAUAUUAUAUGAGAUUAAUAUACUGAUAAAUAAAGAUCAAAAUUUUAUUGUCUAAUAUAAAUAUUAUUCACUUUCUAUUUUUUAUUUUUUUUUAAAAAGACAUUGUAAGUAUAUAUGGAUUUCAAAGCACCUAAUUAAUGUUUUUUAAUUGUUAAUUAACCUUUAAUAUUAUUGAUCCAUUAUCUAAUAUAUGAUUAAUUGAUGUAAGUUGACAUUCAUAAGUGAUUUAUAUAUCAAUAUUUUUUCCAUAUAUGUGUUUAUAAUUAUUCAAAAUUGAUGACAUUAUGGUAAGUGUCAAAAAACUAUUCUUCAUAGCAUAAAAAAAUAAAAAAAAAUAAUUAUGAUAAAAAAUUCUUAAGAAUGAAGAUUUCUUCUUAAUAAACUAAUAUAUAUUUUUUUUUAAAUAAUAAGAUCAUUAUAUUAGUUAAAUGGUUUAAUGAAUUAAAUUAGCCUAUUACUAAAAAAAAAAACUUUCAUGACAUGUCAUGCCAAUUAGGAAAUAGUGGGGCUUUUGAAGUGUCAAGAAAAUUAGUAAGAAUUGAGUGAUUUUUUUAUUCUAAAUGAAUGAUAUUUCAAAGAAAAUUUUCUAAACUUGGUCAUGUUUCGUUUUUUUCUAAACAUUAAUCACAUAAGUGAUAAGUGGACCCUUUGAACACAUUAUUUGAGGUCUUACUUUUAUGUCUAUUGCUUUGAUCUCUAUCUCCCAUUUUCCACCUUGUAUUUUCAAUAUAUAUCUCCAUCUCCUAUUUUCGAAUAAUUAUUCCAAUAUACAGCCCCCUCUUAUUUUCAAUCAAAAGUAGUAUUCUUGAAGAUGGCUGAUGCCGUUGUUUCAUUUGCUGUUCAAAAAUUGGGUGAUUUCCUAAUACAACAAGUUUCACUGCGAACAAAUCUCAGAGAUGAAAUUGGAUGGCUGAAAACUGAGCUACUCAUCAUACAGUCAUUCCUCAAAGAUGCAGAACAAAAGAAAAGUGGAGAUCAUAGAAUUCAACAAUGGGUGUUUGAGAUCAACUCUAUUGCUAAUGACGCUGUUGCUAUACUCGAGACUUACAGUUUCGAGGCUGGUAAAGGUGCUAGUCGUCUCAAGGCUUGCGCUUGCAUAUGUAGGAAGGAGAAGAAAUUCUACAAUGUCGCAGAGGAGAUCCAAUCACUCAAGCAGCGAAUCAUGGAUAUCUCUCGCAAACGAGAGACUUAUGGUAUUACAAAUAUCAAUAGUAAUGCUGGAGAAGGGUCAAGUAAUCAGGUUACAACAUUGAGGAGAACUACCUCAUAUAUAGAUGAUGAUGACAUUUUUGUUGGCUUUCAGGAUGUUGUACAAACAUUGCUAGCUCAACUUCUCAAAGCAGAGCCUCGUAGAAGCGUCAUCUCCAUUCNNNNNNNNNNNNNNNNNNNNNNNNNNNNNNNNNNNNNNNNNNNNNNNNNNNNNNNNNNNNNNNNNNNNNNNNNNNNNNNNNNNNNNNNNNNNNNNNNNNNNNNNNNNNNNNNNNNNNNNNNNNNNNNNNNNNNNNNNNNNNNNNNNNNNNNNNNNNNNNNNNNNNNNNNNNNNNNNNACUAUCAUAAAAUCCAUCCAAGGUUGCACCAAGGAAACUCUAGAUUUGUUGGAAAGGAUGACAGAAGGAGAUCUAGAAAUUUAUCUUCGUGAUCUACUAAAAGAACGCAAAUACCUUGUGGUGGUUGAUGAUGUGUGGAAGAGAGAAGCAUGGAAGGGUUUGAAAAGAGCAUUCCCGGACAGCAAGAAUGGCAGCAGAGUUAUUAUCACCACGCGCCAAGGGGAUGUCGCUGAAAGAGCAGACGAUAGAGGUUUUGUCCAUAAACUUCGCUUCCUAAGCCAAGAAGAAAGUUGGGACCUCUUUUGUAGGAAACUAGUUGAUGUUCGAGCAAUGGUUCCAGCAAUGGAAAGUCUAGCUAAGGAUAUGGUGGAAAAAUGUAGAGGCUUACCUCUUGCAAUUGUUGUAUUGAGUGGACUACUUUCGCAUAGAUGGGGGCUAGACAAAUGGCAAAACGUGAAAGACUGCCUUUGGAAGGACAUUGAAGAAGACUCUAUUGAAAUCUCCUACAUACUAUCAUUAAGCUUCAACGAUUUGUCAGCUGCGCUCAAGAAGUGUUUUCUCUACUUUGGUGUUUUUCCAGAAGAUCGAGUGAUCGAUGCUGACGACAUAAUGUGGUUGUGGAUGGCAGAGGGUUUCAUCAUACCAAGAGGAGAAGAAAGAAUGGAGGAUGUCGCUGAAGGCUUCUUGAAUGAGCUGAUAAGACGAAGCUUGGUUCAAGUGGUGGAUACAUUUUGGGAAAAAGUUACUAAAUGUAAGGUUCAUGAUUUACUUCGUGAUCUUGCGAUACAAAAGGCAUUGGAGGUAAACUUCUUUGACAUUUAUGAUCCAAGAAAGAACUUGAAAUCCACUUCAUGUAUCAGACAAGCCAUUCAUAGUGAAGGAAAAAGGUACCUCUCAUCACUUCAUCGUUCUAACUCGAAGUUGAGGUUAAUUAUGUACUUUGAUCCACAUUAUUUUAAUGUGUUCCUACUUAUAGAUGUGUUCCGACAUAUAUAUGUGUUGUACUUGGAUAUUGAUUAUGGUGAAGUUAUACCUGAUGUCAUAGGGAGUUUGAACAACCUCAAGUUGUUAAGCUUGAGAGGUGUCCGUAAUAUUCCCUCCUCCAUCGGCAAACUCAAGAAUUUACAGACACUUGUUGUUGUCAAUAUGGACAAAUUCUUUUGCCAUUUACCCCCCGAAACAGCUGACCUAAUAAAUUUAAGACAUUUAGUUGUUCCAUAUUCUAUACCUCUGGCAGGUAUAAGCAAACUCACUAGUCUUCAAGUUCUUCGCGUUGAUUGUGAUCAGUGGAAAGAUGUUGACCCAGUUGAUUUAGUCAAUCUUCGAGAAUUAGAGAUGACUAAUAUAUACAAAUCUUACUCCCUAAACAACAUUAGCAGCUUGAAAAACCUUAACACGCUCAUAUUGUGUAUUUUGCUUGGUCAACAAUAUACAUAUCCAUUCCCAUCCCUUGAAUUUGUUAAUAGUUGUGAAAAGCUCCAGAAAUUGGCGUUAGGUGGGAGAUUAGAGAAACUGCCUGUGUUUCCAGAUUCCAUCACAACGAUAAGUCUUUGGGAGUCAAGAAUGACAAAAGAUCCGAUGCCUAUUUUGGGAAUGUUGCCAAACCUAAGGAAUCUCGGAUUAGAUGCAGCUUAUGAAGGAGAAGAAAUAAUGUGCAGUGAUUACAGCUUCAGUCAACUAGAGUUCCUUCAUCUUUAUUUUCUUGACAACUUAGAAAGAUGGCAUUUAGGCACAAAUGCCAUGCCUCUCAUUAAAGAUCUUGGUAUCAAUCAUUGUCCAAACCUGAAGGAGAUUCCUGAGAGAAUGAAAGACGUGAAGCAUUUCAAACAUAAAUGAAGUCUUAUAUGAUAAUAGGAAAGGUAAAUAUACAAACACAUCCCAAUACUUCAUUUUUUUUUCUUUUUUAUAUAAAUAAUAAUAUUUUUGUUAAACAAGAGAUGAAGACAUUCAAGUUGAUGAAGAUGGGUUGUCCAAGCAUCAAUCAAGUUUCCGUCACUUUACUGAUUUUGUGAUUCUAUGCAAAAAUGAGGAUUUUUUUGGUUUUUGGCUUCUUUUUUAGUGUGUGGAAUUGGUUGGAAGAGAUUUUUUUUUGGGGGAAGUGGGGGUGGGGGGGGGGAGGUGGGGAUUGUAUGCAAAAAUGAUUUUGUGAUUAUUUAAUUAAUAUGCAUCUAGUAUACAAUAAUAUACAUCUGGUACAAUAAUAUACAAAACUUUUAUAUUUCUUUUUUACAAAAUAUUGUAAAACUUGAUAUACAAUGUUUAUACACGAUAUUAUACGAAAUCAUAAGAGGUAUAUAUAUAUAUAAAAGAGAACCCUAUGCCCGCCUACGUGGCAUCAUCACAAAUUAAUAUUCCCUAUAUUUGUUCACACUACCCUUUGUUGUCUAUAAAUAGAGGGAUUUCCUCUCAUUUUAAAACAACGAAAAUUUUGAACUUCUUCUUCUUCUGCACAAUUAAAUAUUAUUUUUGUAUCAAUACACUGGUGAAUAGAAUCAUUUUAUCCUGAGAAGAUCUAUUCCUUUAAACCUUGGGUAUUAGAGGGGAAUAAUUUUCUUAUAGGAACACUAUGCAUUUAAUGGGCUCAAUUUUUUCCAGUCUGUUUCAUUUUAUUGUUACAGAUCCUAUUAUGUUUGUUUUAAACUUUGUUGUUUAUGUUACUGCAAAGUUAUUGUCAGUACAAAAUUAAAUAACACACGUUAAUUGAGUAUUCAUGCAAGUUUUCUCUACUGAAAUUUUAGUUUCAAAUUGAACUUCAUCACUCUGGUAUGUUGAUUUUAAAAAAAACACCCAAAUAAACUGAAUAGUUUUAUGUAAUACUUUCCCUUUCAAGUAUAUAUAAUAAGUUGAAUUAUUGUCCCACAUGAUACAUUCUCCCUUUAAUUUUUCAUUUUAAUAAUUACUUAUGAUAUAUUUAAAUAGGGAACUUUAAAAUGAUAUAUAUAAAGCAAAUGGUAGGGUUGAACUUUCUACACGUUAGAAUUAGAAUAUUUAUUCACUUUUUCAGUCUUUUAAAAUUUAUUUAUCCCUCCACCAACAAUUAUUUAUUUAUUAGAAAAUUUAAUAUUUCCGGUUGAUGUUCAUUUGAUUCCCCAAAAAUAUCAAAUAGUAACACUUCUUGGAAGCAAAAGGAUAAAUUAUAAAAUCAAAUUAAAGAUGAUUGAUUGAAGGAUAAGUGAUAAGAUGUUAUAAUUAUCAUCUUCCUUUACAUUAUUAAUAUUUGUUACUACGUAAUAAUGUAUAUAAGAUAAUAUAAUGUUUUAAUUUUAGUGACGGAUAUGUUUUAAAUAUUAUUUUAUAAAUCCCAUGAUAUGAAAUUCCCGCGCGAGGCGCGGGUGAUUUAACUAGUAAUUUAUAAUUUUAUACCCUAUUAUACAAAACAAAAUUUUGUCAAACUUAGCAACUUGAUUUCUCUCAAACGGCAAGAUUGAAUCUUUUGAAAAUUUGUGGAGAAGUAUAGUGAUGGUCUAUCAUCCCCAAUAGGGGAGAUGUCAUGAAUCACAAUAGACAUCGUUGUAAUAUAAUGUACACACAAAAAUAUUUAAGUUAAAUAAGAUGUAAAUUUUAUUUUUAAGAAUGAAUAUCUAAAACUUGCAAAGAAAAUAAAAAAAAAUAAGGUGGAGACAAACAACUUAUUCUUAAAAAUUAGGCAUAAUACAUAUAUUUCAUCCUAAACUUGGCUUCAAGUUUUAACUUUGACCUCCGACUUUCAUAGUGCACAAACAGGCACUUUAACUAUCCAACUUUUUAAUAAAUAAACACGCGAGUCAUACUUGACAAAAUGCGUGAUGUGCACGUAUUCUGCAUGAGUUAGGAGAAAUGACAACUCUACCACCCGGAUUCCGGCCAAUCUCUGGCAACCCAAAUCCCCCAUUCAUUUUCUUCUUUUUCAAGCAAAACGCCACCACCAAAUGACCCCCAAAUAAGUGAACAAACACAUCCAUUACUCCUCCCUUUUCCGGCCAUCAAACACCACUUGAAACCACCCAAAACCUCCAUUCAUUAAGUAAUGCAUAUUAUUUUGAAGGCAUAAUACAUAUAUUGGAACCUGAACUUGACUUCAAAUUUUAACUUUGACCUCCAACUUUCAUAGUGCACAAACAGGCACUUUAAUUAUCCAACUUUUAAAUAAAUAAACACGCAAUUUUUACAACCAAAGAGCGUGAAAUGCAAACGCUCCAACGUGUAUUAGUGAGCCACUCAAUGGCUGCCAACUAAUUAAAUAUUUUACACGUCAUUUUAGAACUAAAAAAAUCAAAAUUAAUUUUAAUUUAUAUACAAGAAUCAAAAUUAAUUCCUCCUAAUGGUUUUUAGAGCUUGGAGCUCAUUGUUUGACGGAGCUUAGAAGUUUGUUGAUGGCUGGCAUCUUGGUUUAGGUGUUUGUGGUUGUUGGGUCUGUUGGUUGCAGCAGUGUUGUUUCGUGAUGAUUCUCGCCGAAGAUGGCAGAUCUGAUGGGUUUGGGGUCGGGUAUUUGGUGGGUUUAGCUAGCUCGAAGCUCGAUCGUUACAUGGGUUGUGCUCCGGUGUGGAGGAAAAAGGAGACCGGCUGGGUUGGAGGUACUUGUUUGGGGUCAUUUGGUGGUGGCGUUUAGCCUGAAAAAGAAGAAAAUGAACGGGGGUUUUGGGUUGCCAGAGAUUGGCUGGAAUCCGGGGGUAGAGUUGUCAUUUCAGCAUUUUUUUUUACUGUUGUGGGACUCAAAAAUUACUCCUAACUCACGCAGAAUACGUGUACAUCACGCGUUUUGCCAAGUAAGAUUCGCGUGUUUAUUUAUUAAAAGGUUGGAUAGUUAAAGUGCUUGUUUGUGUACUAUGAAAGUUGGAGGUCAAAAUUAAAAUUUAAAUCCAAGUUUAGGGUCCAAUAUAUGUAUUAUGCCUAUUUUGAAUAUGACAAAUCAAAGAAGCAAUAAAAAUUUAUCUGACAUAACUAAUUCCAGCUUAACUUGUUUUCAAACCAACUGACAGUGUAUGUGGUAUGAAGGAAAAUGUUUUCCAAAUCAACUUGUUUUCCUCAAAUUUAAGGAAAAUGACUUACCUCCAGAAAAUGUUUUUCAGAACUCUUUUUCAACCUCACACCUUAACUUUUCACCCUAACUCAAGUCUCGAGUUAUUCUCGAUACAAAUUCGGGAUCUGACUCCUGAUUCUUGAUUCGAGACCCGACUCUCGACCUCGAUUCGAGACCCGACUCAGGAGAUAGAUCUAAAUCAAAUUCUAAUUUGGGUGUCGAGUCCCAGGUCAGGAUUUGAGGUCGAAUCUUGGAUUGGAUGUCGAGGUUUAUUCCCGAGUCAGGUGUCGAUGUGGGGUUCCAAAUUGAGUGUCAGAGUCAGGUUUUGAGUCAAGAGUCAAGAUCUAGUCCCAGGUCAGUUGACGGAUUUGAGUCAUGGAUCAGUUAUCGAAGUAGGGUAUCGUGGUUGAAUUCCGAUUUGAAAGUCAAGUCCUUGAUAGGGAGUUGGGAUCAAAUCUCAAUUUGGAAGUUGGGUCAAGCGUCGGGGUCAGGUUUCACAUCGAGUGUUGAGGUCGAAUCUUAGUUUGGAUCUCGCGUUAGGUGUCGAGAUCGAGACCCGAAACAAUCAUCGAGUUAAAGAUUAGGGUCAAGGUCAAUGUCGAGUCCUAGGUUGGGAGUCAAGGUCAGGUCCUGGAUCAGUUAUCAGAGUUCAUUUUCAGAUCAAAAACUAUUUUCCUAAAAUGUAUUUCUUUAUCUCUAGCCAAAAUAAAAGUUUUUGUUUUUCUGAAAAAUGUUUUUCAUUCACCAACCAAACACUCGAAAUAAAAUUUCACUCAUCAACCAAACAUGAGAAAAUAAGUUAGAAACCAACUUAUUUUCUAAGAAAACAAUUUCCUCCAUACCAAACACACCCUUAAGUCUCAAUCCCAAAGAAUAUUGAGGGUUGACAAACGGUUAUAUGAAUCAUCAUUAUCAAUAUUGUUCUAUUAUUAAUUAAACAGAUGAUGGUGAAAGAUACACCUAAAGUAUCCUAAUUAUCGAGUCUCAUAUUCGAACAAUCAUGUCACGCCCCGAGCCUACACCCUGGGCUGGACCGGCACUCGGAGAUCAUCCCUGGCCCCAAGCGAACCCUUGGCCUGGCUUUCUUAACUCAGCGGAAACCUAACUCAACAGAAUAACUUAAUGUCAUGCAAAGACAUAAAACAACUUAACUGAUGAAAUCUGGCCCAAAAAGGCAACUCGAGUCUCAAAAUAUAAUAUUUACAUAUAUACAUAGAUGAGAGACUCAAUACUAACUGACUGACUGUCUGUCUAUGAAGCCUCUAAUAUACUGAGAUGGAUGUUGGGACAGACCCCNNNNNNNNNNNNNNNNNNNNNNNNNNNNNNNNNNNNNNNNNNNNNNNNNNNNNNNNNNNNNNNNNNNNNNNNNNNNNNNNNNNNNNNNNNNNNNNNNNNNNNNNNNNNNNNNNNNNNNNNNNNNNNNNNNNNNNNNNNNNNNNNNNNNNNNNNNNNNNNNNNNNNNNNNNNNNNNNNNNNNNNNNNNNNNNNNNNNNNNNNNNNNNNNNNNNNNNNNNNNNNNNNNNNNNNNNNNNNNNNNNNNNNNNNNNNNNNNNNNNNNNNNNNNNNNNNNNNNNNNNNNNNNNNNNNNNNNNNNNNNNNNNNNNNNNNNNNNNNNNNNNNNNNNNNNNNNNNNNNNNNNNNNNNNNNNNNNNNNNNNNNNNNNNNNNNNNNNNNNNNNNNNNNNNNNNNNNNNNNNNNNNNNNNNNNNNNNNNNNNNNNNNNNNNNNNNNNNNNNNNNNNNNNNNNNNNNNNNNNNNNNNNNNNNNNNNNNNNNNNNNNNNNNNNNNNNNNNNNNNNNNNNNNNNNNNNNNNNNNNNNNNNNNNNNNNNNNNNNNNNNNNNNNNNNNNNNNNNNNNNNNNNNNNNNNNNNNNNNNNNNNNNNNNNNNNNNNNNNNNNNNNNNNNNNNNNNNNNNNNNNNNNNNNNNNNNNNNNNNNNNNNNNNNNNNNNNNNNNNNNNNNNNNNNNNNNNNNNNNNNNNNNNNNNNNNNNNNNNNNNNNNNNNNNNNNNNNNNNNNNNNNNNNNNNNNNNNNNNNNNNNNNNNNNNNNNNNNNNNNNNNNNNNNNNNNNNNNNNNNNNNNNNNNNNNNNNNNNNNNNNNNNNNNNNNNNNNNNNNNNNNNNNNNNNNNNNNNNNNNNNNNNNNNNNNNNNNNNNNNNNNNNNNNNNNNNNNNNNNNNNNNNNNNNNNNNNNNNNNNNNNNUAUAUAUAUAUAUAUAUAUAAAAGAGAACCAUAUGCCCGCCUACGUGGCGUCAUCACAAACCAAGAUUCCCUAUGUUUGUUCACACUACCCUUUGUUGUCUAUAAAUAGAGGGAUUUCCUCUCAUUUUUAAAACAACGAAAAUUUUUGAACUUCUUCUUCUUCUGCACAAUUAAAUAUUAUUUUUGUAUCAAUACACUGGUGAAUACAAUCAUUAUAUCCUGAGAGGAUCUAUUCCUUUAAACCUCGGGUACUAGAGGGGAAUAAUUUUCUUAAAGGAACACUAUGCAUUUAAUGGGCUCAAUUUUUUCCAGUCUGUUUCAUUCUAUUGUUACAGAUCCUGGUAUGCUUGUUUUAAACUUUGUUGUUUAUGUUACUGCAAAGUUAUUGUUAGUACAAAUUAAAUAACACACGUUAAUUGAGUAUUCACACAAGUUUUCUCUACUGAAAUUUUAGUUUCAAAUUGAACUUCAUCACUCUAGUAUGUUGAUUUUUAAAAAAACACCCAAAUAAACUGAAUAGCUUUAUGUAAUAAUUUCCCUUUCAAGUAUAUAUAAUAAGUUGAAUUAUUGUCCCAUAUGAUACCUUCUCCCUUUAAUUUUUCAUUUUAAUAAUUACUUAUGAUAUAUUUAAAUAGGGAACUUUAAAAUGAUAUAUGUAAAGCAAAAUUGGUAGGGUUGAACUUUCUACACGUUAGAAUUAGAAUAUUUAUUCACUUUUUCAGUCUUUCAAAAUCUAUUUAUCCCUUCACCAACGAUUAUUUAUUUAUUAGAAAAUUUUAAUAUCUCUGGUUGAUGUUCAUUUGAUUCCCCAAAAAUAUCAAAUAGUAACACUUCUUGGAAGCAAAAGGAUAAAUCAUAAAAUCAAAUUAAAAAUGAUUGAUUGAAGGAUAAGUGAUAAGAUGUUAUAAUUAUCAUCUUCGUUUACAUUAUUAAUAUUUGUUACUACGUAAUAUUGUAUAUAAGAUAAUAUAAUAUUUUAAUUUUAGUGACGGAUAUGUUUUAAGUAUUAUUUUAUAAAUCCCAUGAUAAUAAAUUCCCGCGCGAGGCGCAGGUGAUUUAACUAGUAAUGUAUAAUUUUAUACCCUAUUAUACAAAACAAAAUUUUGUCAAACUUUGCAACUUGAUUUCUCUCAAACGGCAAGAUUGAAUCUUCUGAAAAUUUGUGGAGAAGUAUAGUGAUGGUCUAUCAUCCCCAAUAGGGGAGAUGUCAUGAAUCACAAUAGACAUCGUUGCAAUAUAAUAUACACACAAAAAUAUUUAAGUUAAAUAAGAUGUAAAUUUUAUUCUUAAGAAUGAAUAACUAAAACUUGCAAAGAAAAUAUAUAAAAAAAAAAAGGUGGAGACAAACAACUUAUUCUUAAAAAUUAGGCAUAACACAUAUAUUUGACCCUAUACUUGGCUUCAAAUUUUAACUUUGACCUCCAACUUUCAUAGUGCACAAACAUGCACUUUAACUAUCCAACCUUUUAAUAAAUAAACACGCGAGUCAUACUUGGCAAAACGCGUGAUAUGUACGUAUUCUGCAUGAGUUAGGAGAAAUGACAACUCUACCACGCAACGAAUCAAUCUCUUCAGGGUUUCCAUUUACAAUGCCUGGGGUUCUAAAAUGCAAGAAUAGUGUAUCCCAUUUUCUUCAUUCACUAAGACGCGUAAACAAGUAUCAAACUCAGACGAACAUAAAUGUAGCGAUAUGGAUUAGAUUACAACACGACAUUACAAAUGUAUUUUUGACAAAUCCAAAUACAGGAAAAAGAAGAAAUGACACAAUCAAUGGAUCAACAACUCUAGUUUCUCACAUUGGCAUAAUACAUAUAUUGGACCCUAAACUUGGCUUCAAAUUUUAACUUUGACCUCCAACUUUCAUAGUGCACAAACAGGCACUUUAAUUAUCCAACUUUUAAAUAAAUAAACAAGCAAUUUUUACAGCCAAAGAGCGUGAAAUGCAAACGCUCCAACGUGUAUUAGUGAGCCACUCAAUGACUGCCAACUAAUUAAAUAUUUUACACGUCAUUUUAGAACUAAAAAAAAUCAAAAUUAAUUUUAUUUUAUAUACAAGAAUCAAAAUUAAUUCCUCCUAAUGGUUUUUAGAGCUUGGGGCUCAUUGUUUGACGGAGCUUAGAAGUUUGUUUAUGGCUGGCUUCUUGGUUUAGGUGUUUGUGGUUGUUGGGUCUGUUGGUUGCAGCAGUGUUGUUUCGUGAUGAUUCUCGCCGGAGAUGGCGGAUCUGAUGGGUUUGGGGUCGGGUAUUUGGUGGGUUUAGCGAGCUCGAUCGUUUCAUGGGUUGUGCUCCAGUGUGGAGGAAGAAAGAGACCGGCUGGGUUGGAGGUACUUAUUUGGGGUCAUUUGGUGGUGGCGUUUUGCCUGAAAAAGAAGAAAAUGAACGGGGGUUUUGGGUUGCCGGAGAUUGGCCGGAAUCUGGGGGGUAGAGUUGUCAUUUCAGCAUAUUUUUACUGUUGUGGGAAUCAAAAAUUACUCCUAACUCGCACAGAGAACGUGCACAUCACGCGUUUUGCCAAGUAAGAUUCGCGUGUUUUAUUUAUUAAAAAGGUUGGAUAGUUAAAGUGUUUGUUUGUGCACUAUGAAAGUUGGAGGUCAAAAUUAAAAUUUAAAUCCAAGUUUAGGGUCCAAUAUAUGUAUUAUGCCUAUUUUGAAUAUGACAAAUCAAAGAAGCAAUAAAAAUUUAUCUAACAUAACUAAUUCCAGCAUAACUUGUUUUCAAACCAACUGACAGUGUAUAUGGUAUGAAGGAAAAUAUUUUCCAAAUCAACUUGUUUUGUUCAAAUUUAAGGAAAAUGACUUACCUCUAGAAAAUUAGGAAAACAUUUUUCAGAACUCUUUUUCAACCUCACACCUCAACUUUUCACCCUAACUCAAGUCUCGAGUUAUUCUCGAUACAAAUUCGGGAUCUGACUCCUGAUUCUUGAUUCGGGACCUGACUCUCGACCUCGAUUCAAGACCCGACUCAGGAGAUGGAUUUAAAUCAAAUUCUGAUUUGGGUGUCGAGUCCCAGGUCAGGAUUUAAGGUCGAAUCUUGGAUUGGAUGUCGAGGUUUAUUCCCGAGUCAGGUGUCGAUAUGGGGUUCCAAAUUGAGUGUUAGAGUCAGGUUUUGAGUCAAGAGUCGAGAUCUAGUCCCAGGUCAGUUGACGGAUUUGAGUCCUGGAUCAGUUAUCGAGGUAGGGUAUCGUGGUUGAAUUCCGAUUUGAAAGUCAAGUCAUUGAUAGGGAGUUGGAUCAAAUCUCGAUUUGGAAGUUGGGUCAAGUGUCGGGGUCAGGUUUCACAUCGAGUGUUGAGGUCGAAUCUUGGUUUGGAUCUCGCGUUAGGUGUCGAGAUCGAGAUCCGAAACAAUCAUCGAGUUAAAGAUUAGGGUCAACGUCAAUGUCGAGUCCUAGGUUAGGAGUUGAGGUCAGGUCCUGGAUCAAUUAUCAAAGUUGAUUUUCAGAUCAAAAACUAUUUUCCUAAAAUGUAUUUCUUUAUCUCUAGCCAAAAUAAAAGUUUUUUUUCUGAAAAAUGUUUUUCAUUCACCAACCAAACACUCGAAAUAAAAUUCCAUUCAUCAACCAAACAUGAGAAAAUAAUUUCUAAGAAAACAAUUUCCUCCAUACCAAACACACCCUUAAGUCUCAAUCCCAAAGAAUAUUGAGGGUUGACAAAUGGUUAUAUGAAUCAUCAUUAUCAAUAUUGUUCUAUUAUUAAUUAAAUAGAUGAUGGUGAAAGAUACACCUAAAGUAUCCUAAUUAUUGAGUCUCAUAUUCGAACAAUCAAUUGAGCACUCUAACUUUCAAAAUGAUCAUCUAGGCACCUAAUUCAAAACUUAUGUGUCACGUCAACGUCAGGUGUUCAUUAGACACAAUGAUGACAAAUUGAAGUGUUUAAUUGUCAAUUAAGACCAAAUUGAGAUGUAUAGAUAUACACUCUCAAAGUUGAAGUGCUUAUUUGAUUAGAUUGAAUCAAAUCAAGAAAAAGAAACUCAAUCAAGGAUUUGGUUUGGCAUUGAAGAAAAAAAAAUCGAUAUAAUUAACUUAGUUUAUUCAUAACUUAAGAAAAAGCAUAUCAAAAUCAAACCAAAGUGAUAUUAUAUUUAUACAAAUUUUAUAAAUAUGUUAUACUUUAAAAUAUUUAUUAUAAUUCUUAAUAAAUAAUGGUUGUAGAUGCCAAAUGGUGGUAUGUAAUUAAUGGUGGACGAUGGCAGUAGGUUGGAUGAGGGAAUUGUUGAACUGCUAACAACAUAUCCAGUAAAAUCCCACUAAGUGGGAUCUGAGGAGGGUAGAGUGUACGCAUACUCUACCUCCAAUUUUCAUGAAAAUAUUUAAAUAGAUACCUUAAUAAUAUUAAUAUUUUUUUUCUUAUAGAGAUUAAUCAUUCAGAUUUAUUCAGAUACUGGAAAAAAAAAAGGGGGUGGGGGGGGGGGUUGUGAUCACUAUUCUGAUGGAAUAAUGCAAAGUCAAAUAUUGACUAUAUAGAAAUUAGAAAGAUAUCAUGUGCACUACAACCAAACCAAUUUUAAAUUUUCUGGGAAUGUGUACUAAUAAUUCUUUUACUAAUUAAUCAAAGAGAAGAAAAGUAAACUAAAUUAUACUUAACUCUAGAGUCAAACUUCUUCUGGCAGCAAUUAACAGCCAACUUUGAUUUGAAUUUCUCCCAUGUCUUUUGUCCUUAUAAGUCUAUGUAUUGCCGUAAAAAAUCCAAACGCCUAAAGAUGGUUGAUGCCUCUGUGUCAUUCGCAGUAAAAAAAUUGGGGGAUUUUCUCAUACAGGAAGCUUCCCUGCGUACAAGUCUCAGACAGGAUGUGCGGUGGAUGCGAAAUGAGCUGUUCUUCAUGCAGUCUUUCCUCAAAGAUGCAGAACAAAAACAAGUUGUAGAUCAAAGAGUUCAACAAUGGGUGUUUGAAAUCAACUCGAUUGCUAAUGACGCUGUUGCUAUACUCAAGGCUUAUAGCUUCGAGGAUAGUAAAGGUGACGACGCUAGAUUUGCUAGUCGUCUGAAGGCUUAAACUUGCAUCUGCAGGAAGGAGACAAAGUUCUAUAACGUCACCAAGGAGAUCCAAUCACUAAAGCAUCGAAUCAUGGAUAUCUCUCACAAACGAGAGACUUAUGGUAUUAGAGAUAUGAAUAAUGCAGGAGAAAGGCCAAGUAAUCGCCCAAACAAUCAGUAUGACAUGGUUAGAACAUUGAGGAGAACUACCUCAUAUGUAGAUGAGGAUCACAUUUUUGUUGGCUUUCAGGAUGUUGUACAAACAUUGCUAACUGAACUUCUCAAACCAGAGCCUCACAGAAGAGUCAUCUCCAUUUAUGGUAUGGGAGGAUUAGGCAAGACAACUCUUGCGAGAAACCUAUACAUCAGUCCUAAUAUUGCCUCUAGCUUCCCUACACGUGCUUGGAUAUGUGUUUCUCAAGAGUACAACACCAUGGAUCUCCUUUGGAAUAUCAUAAAAUCCAUCCAAGGUUGCACCAAGGAAACUCUAGAUUUGUUGGAAAAGAUGACAGAGAGAGAUCUAGAAAUUUACCUUCGUGAUCUUUUAAAAGAACCCAAAUACCAUGUGGUGGUCGAUGAUUUAUGGCAUAGAGAAGCAUGGGAAAGUUUUGAAAUGAGCAUUUCCAGAUAGCAAGAACGGCAGCAGAGUUAUUAUUACCACACGCAAAGAGGAUGUCGCUGAAAGAGCAGAUAACAAAGGUUUUGUCUAUAGACUUCGUUUCCUGAGCCAAGAAGAAAGUUGGGAUCUCUUUUGUAGGAAACUACUAGAUGUUCAGGCAAAGGUCUCAGCAAUGGAAAGGCUAGCAAAGGAAAUGGUGGACAAGUGUGGAGGUUUACCUCUUGCAGUUGUUGUAUUAAGCGGACUACUUUCACAUAAAAGGGGNNNNNNNNNNNNNNNNNNNNNNNNNNNNNNNNNNNNNNNNNNNNNNNNNNNNNNNNNNNNNNNNNNNNNNNNNNNNNNNNNNNNNNNNNNNNNNNNNNNNNNNNNNNNNNNNNNACUAUCAUUAAGCUACAAUGAUUUGUCAACUGCGCUCAAGCAGUGUUUCCUGUACUUUGGUAUUAUUCCAGAAGAUCAUGAGGUCCAUGUUGAUCACAUAUUAUGGUUGUGGAUGGCUGAAGGAUAUGUACCAACAGGAAAAGAAAUAAUGGAGGAUGUUGCUGAAGGCUUCUUGAAUGAGUUGAUAAGAAGAAGCUUGAUACAAGUGGUACGCACAUUUUGGGAUAAAGUUGGUAAAUGUAGGAUUCAUGAUCUGCUUCGCGAUCUUGCCGUACAAAAAGCAUUGGAGGUAAACUUUUUUGACAUUUAUGAUCCAAGAAAGCAUUCCAUAUCCUCCUUGUGUCUUAGACAUGCCAUUCGUAGUCAAGGAAAAAGAUAUUUAUCACUCGAUCUUUCUAACUUGAAUGUUAGGUCACUUAUGUUCCUUGAUACGGAUUUUUUAAAGAUGGGUCUUAUAAAGUUCCAUAAUGUGUUCCAACAUCUAUAUGUGUUGUACUUGGAGAUGCGUGUUGACAAUAUGUCUAUAGUACCUGAUGCCAUAGGAAGUUUGUACCACCUCAAGUUCUUAAGAUUUAGAGGUAUCCAUGAUCUUCCCUCUUCCAUUGGCAACCUCAAGAAUUUACAGACACUUCUUGUCAAUGACUAUGGAUACUUUUGCCAACUACCCCGCGAGACAGCUGACCUGAUAAAUCUAAGGCAUUUAGUUGCUUCGUAUUCAAAACCUCUGAAACGUAUAAGCAAACUCACUAGUCUUCAAGUUCUUAAAGGCAUCCAUUGUGAUCAGUGGAAAGAUGUUGACCCUGUUGAUUUAGUCAAUCUUCGAGAAUUAAGCAUGCAUGAGAUUACCAAAACUUACUCACUAAACAACAUUAGCAGCUUGAAAAACCUUAGCACUCUAAAAUUGUGUUGUGUAGCUUAUGAAUCAUUCCCAAACCUUGAAUAUCUUAGUUCUUGUCAGAACCUGGGUUAGAGGGGCAAAUAGAAAAACUGCCUCUCUCAGAGCAGUUUCCGAAUUCCAUUGCCAUGAUGGUCCUUCGGUACUCAGAACUCAUGGAAGAUCCCAUGUCUACUCUAGGGAUGCUGCCAAAUCUAAGGAAUCUCGAUUUGUUUAGAGCUUACGGAGGAAAAGAAAUUACCUGCAGUGAUAACAGCUUCAGCCAACUGGAGAUCCUUCGUCUUGAUUGUCUUGAGAACUUAGAAAGAUGGCAUUUAGCCACAAGUGCCAUGCCUCUGAUUAAAGGUCUUGGUAUCCAGCGUUGUCAAAAGCUACAUGAGAUUCCCGAUAGAAUGAAAAACGUGGAGAGAACUCCUUUUCAAUGAAGCUUUUCAAGCAUAUAUGAUGUCCUAUUUCAGCUCUUUCAUAAUCGUAAAGGUAAUAAAUCCCAAUCCCCAAUGAACAUUUCUUUAAUUCCUUUUAAUUACUCACUUUGCCGCAGAUUUGUUAGUAUAAUGUUUAAUUUUUAUACUAUGACAGUACAUUUUUUAAUACACUAUCAACAUACUAAAAGAAGUCAACUAUAAAUAAUUGUCUAUAGGUAAAUCACUUAUGCAUGAGAUUUUGUCUUGUAUCACAACAACCACAUACCCAGUACUGUAUUCCCACAGAAUGAGGUUUGGGGAGGGUAGAGUGUACGCAAACCUUACAUCCACCUCAAAGGUGAGGUAGAGAGACUAUUUCCGAUAAACUCUCGGCUCAAGACAAAAAAGACUAGAAAAAGACAUAAUGGAAGUAGAAGAGACAAUAGGUAGUAACAAAACAACAUAUGAAAGCAGAACAGUACUACAACCAAAUUAUAUUACAAUCGAACUACACAAAACAAUAGAUAUCAACAAAAUGAUUUUCUUCAUUCCAAAAACACACUGAAUUGUAUUGGCAAUCUAUUAUUUGGUUAACACUUGAUAUUGUCCUGAUCAUUAUGAUUAAUCAUCAAUUUAGGUUAUUGAUAAAUCUUUUGUUCUUUAUUGAAUACUAUUCCUCAUAUUAAAUAGUGUCUUACAAUUUUGUGAAUAGGAGAAGCAGCAGCUGGCAGGUGUGGAACUUUUGCCAAGCAUUUCAAGAGAUUUACAUGGAGCAAGUCAGAUUUUAGAAAUAAUAAGCAUGUUUCUUUUUGUUUUGGCUUUAGGUCAUGUGUUUAAAUUAUAAGUGUGACAUUCAAGAUUUUUUUUUAAAAAUCUCCUUAUAUAAAUUUCUUGUUCUGCCACUGCCCACAUUUUGUUUCUUGUCAUAAACGAAGGAGUAUUAAAUAAGUAUGAGAUUUCAAGUUCAAGAUUCUGAAAUGAACUUUUUGUAAUUAUUAUCCAAGAAUAUUAUGGUAUAAUAAAUCUUUAUAGAAUUAUAGUCCACAAACAUAUAAUAACUCAAAACAGUGAUGACUAGCAGUGAUGCUUGUGGAAGUCGAUUAAGGAUGGUGUUGACAAAUGAUGGGGUGGGAUUAGUUGCUAGUGGUGAUGGUGUUGGCAGUGGAGGUUAAUAGUUAUGUUGGAAAAUAGUGAUAAUUAAUGGUAAUGGGGACAAUGAAGAUAAUGUGGUGAUUAGUGGUUGUUGUAGACUCGUGGUAAUGAUGGUCAGUGAAGAUGAUUGUAAAUGGCAGCUAGUGAUAGGGACAAUUGAGUGUAGUGAUUGAUAGUGAUGGUGAUUGUGGCUAAUAAUGAUGGUUGAAAACGGUGGACGUCUAGAUAAAGGCGGUAGGUUGAAUGAUGGAAUGGUUGAACUACGUACUAUUUUCAUAAAAAUCUUUAAAUAAAUAUCUUAAUAGUAGAUCUUAAUCAUUCAGAUUUAUUCACACUCCCUAAGUGGUUGAAAAUACAUCUACACUGAAAAAGGCAAGAAAGAGUAAAAAAAAGGAAUGUGUCCACAAUUGACUGAUCAUUAUUCUGAUGGAAUAAUGCAAAGCCAAAAUUGACUGCAGAGAAAGAGGCUUUAAUCAAAGAGAAGAAAAGUAAACUAAAUAUACUUCUUUAUCAAAAAAGAAAGAAAACUAAAUAUACUUAACUCUGCGUCAAACUUCUUCCAGGCAGCAAUUAACAGCCAACUUUGAUUUGAAUUUCUCCCAUAUUUCUUCAUCUCUUCAUUACAGUAAAGAUCCAAACGCCUAAGAUGGUUGAUGCCUUUGUGUCAUUUGCAGUUCAAAAACUGGGGGAUUUUCUCAUACAGGAAGCUUCCCUGCAUUCAAGUCUCAGACAGGAUGUACGGUGGCUGCGAAAUGAGCUGUUCUUCGUGCAGUCUUUCCUCAAAGAUGCCGAACAAAAGCAAGUUGUAGAUCAAAGAGUUCAACAAUGGGUGUUUGAGAUCAGCUCUGUUGCUAAUGACGCCGUUGCUAUAUUGGAGACUUAUAGCUUCGAGGCUAGUAAAGGUAGUCGUCUGAAAGCUUGCACUUGCAUCUGCAGGAAGCAGACAAAAUUCUACACCGUCAGAAAGGAGAUCCAAUCACUCAAGCAUCGAAUCAUGGAUAUCUCUCGCAAACGAGAGACAUAUGAUAUUAGAGAUAUCAAUAAUGCAGGAGAAGGGCCAAGUAAUCGCCCAAACAAUCAGUCUGACAUGGUUAGAACAUUGAGGAGAACUACCUCAUAUGUGGAUGAUGACCAGGAUUACAUUUUUGUUGGCUAUCAGGAUAUUGUAGAAACAUUGCUAGCUGAACUUCUCAAACCAGAGCCUCGCCGAAGCGUCAUCUCCAUUUAUGGUAUGGGCGGAUUAGGCAAGACAACUCUUGCGAGAAACCUAUACAUCAGUCCUAAUAUUGCCUCUAGCUUCCCUACACGUGCUUGGAUAUGUGUUUCUCAAGAGUACAACACCAUGGAUCUCCUUUGGAAUAUCAUAAAAUCCAUCCAAGGUUGCACCAAGGAAACUCUAGAUUUGUUGGAAAAGAUGACAGAGAGAGAUCUAGAAAUUUACCUUCGUGAUCUUUUAAAAGAACCCAAAUACCUUGUGGUGGUCGAUGAUUUAUGGCAUAGAGAAGCAUGGGAAAGUCUAAAACGAGCAUUUCCAGACAGCAAGAAUGGCAGCAGAGUUGUUAUUACCACGCGCAAAGAAGAUGUCGCUGAAAGAGCAGAUAACAAAGGUUUUGUCUAUAAACUUCGUUUUCUGAGCCAAGAAGAAAGUUGGGAUCUCUUUUGUAGGAAACUACUAGAUGUUCAGGCAAUGGUCUCAGCAAUGGAAAGGUUAGCUAAGGAUAUGGUGGACAGGUGUGGAGGUUUACCUCUUGCAAUUGUUGUAUUAAGCGGACUACUUUCACAUAAAAGGGGUCUAGAAGAAUGGCAAAGGGUGAAGGACCACCUUUGGCAGCACAUUAAAGAUGACUCUAUUGAAAUUUCCUACAUACUAUCAUUGAGCUACAACGAUUUGCCAACUGAGCUCAAGCAGUGUUUCCUGUACUUUGGUAUUAUUCCAGAAGAUCAUGAGGUCCAUGUUGAUCACAUAUUAUGGUUGUGGAUGGCUGAAGGAUUCAUACCAACAGGAGAAGAAAUCAUGGAGGAUGUUGCUGAAGGCUUCUUGAAUGAACUGAUAAGACGAAGCUUGAUACAAGUGGUACGAACAUUUUGGGAAAAAGUUAGUAAAUGUAGGAUUCAUGAUCUACUUCGCGAUCUUGCUGUACAAAAGCAUUGGAGGUAAACUCUUUUGACAUUUAUGAUCCAAGAAAGCACUCCAUAUCCUCCUUGUGUCUCAGACAUGCCAUUCAUAGUCAAGGAAAAAGGUAUCUCACACUUGAUCUUUCCAACUUGAAGUUGAGGUCACUUAUGUUCCUUGAUCCGGAUUGUUUAAAUAUGGGUCCUAUAAAGUUCCGUAAUGUGUUCCAACAUCUAUAUGUGUUGUACUUGGAGAUGCGUGUUGACAAUAUGUCUAUAGUACCUGAUGCCAUAGGAAGCUUGUACCACCUCAAAUUCUUAAGAUUGAGAGGUAUCCGUGAUCUUCCCUCUUCUAUUGGCAACCUCAAGAAUUUACAGACACUCUUGUCAAUGACUAUGGAUACUUUUGCCAACUACCCCGUGAAACAGCUGACCUAAUAAAUCUAAGGCAUUUAGUUGUUUCGUAUUCAAAACCUCUGAAACUUAUUAGCAAACUCACUAGUCUUCAAGUUCUUAAAGCCAUCCAUUGUGAUCAGUGGAAAGAUGUUGACCCUGUUGAUUUAGUCAAUCUUCGAGAAUUAACCAUGCAUGAUAUUACCAAAACUUACUCCCUAAACAACAUUAGUAGCUUGAAAAACCUUAGCUCUCUCAAAUUGUUGUGUAAAGAUUGUGAAUCAUUCCCAGCCCUUGAAUUUCUUUAUUCUUGUCAAAAGCUCCACAAAUUGUGGUUACAAGGGAGAAUAGAGAAGCUGCCUCUGUCGGACCAAUUUCCAAAUUCCAUCAUAAUGAUGAUCCUUUCUAGCUCAGAACUCACAGAAGAUCCCAUGCCUACUCUAGGGAUGCUGCCAAGUCUAAGGAAUCUCGAUUUGUUUAGAGCUUACGGAGGAAAAGAAAUCACUUGCAGUGACAACAGCUUCAGUCAACUGGAGAUCCUUCGUCUUGAUUGUCUUGAGAACUUAGAAAGAUGGCAUUUAGCCACAAGUGCCAUGCCUCAUAUUAAAGGUUUUGCUAUCCGUCGUUGUCCAAAGCUACAUGAGAUUCCAAAGAGAAUGAAAGACGUGGAGACAUUGAAGAGAGACUGUCUUAGAUAAUCGUAGAGGUAAUAAAUCCCGAUCCCCAUUGAACAUUUCUUUAAUUCCUCCUCCUCACUAGUUUUAUAUAGUUUUGUUGAUUUAUCUUUUUUUUAUAUAUAUAAAUAAUAAAUAAAAACAGUUGAAUAAGAUGCUUUGUUUUAUAUUAGUUUGUAUUAUUGUAUAAGGACUUAAAGAAUCUUUACAUUAUCAACUGCCUGAAAAUCAACUAUAACUAAUUUUCUGUAUAUAAAUAAAUACGAGUGGCAGUGCCCUUUGUAUAACAUAAGUCAUUUCUCAUGGAAUGUUUUUUCUUGCAGAAUGACUGUUAUGGGAAAUAUUUACUUUGAAAAUGUUCUCGGUGUUUAAUUGGUGAGCGAAAAAAUAUGAAAUAGAUAUAUUAAAACCCAAUAAUAAUAUUUGCAAAUCAGAGAGUUUCUUGAUGAAAUUUUUGAUUACUAAUAGAUCAGUAAAAAUGUUUUUGUGUUAGUUUUUUUCUUUUGGUUUCCCACUUGGUGUCUCAGAGCCCACAUUGGAGCUCCGACUAAAUCCAGAUCGCGCACUGCAGGGCCCAUUCAGGGGUGGCGCUCCCAACAGGGUUUUCUCCGUACCCAGGGCUCGAAGCCGAGACCUCUAGUUAAGGGUGAAGCAGUCCAACCACUGCACGUUCACUACAACCCAUGUUGGUGUUUUUGUGGUAGUUGGAGCAACUAAUAUGAAAAUUUUCCCCAUUUUGAUGGUAAAUAUUUUGGUAAGCUAAUACGACAAAUAAUUACCUCGAAAAUGACUUUCUUCGUACCAAAAACACAUUGAGUUUUAUCGGCAAUCUAUUAUUUGGUUGACACAUGAUAAUGCCUUGAACAUUAUAGUUAAUCAUUAUUUUAGAUAAUUGAUAAAAAAAAUUGUUUUUAUUGAAUACUAGUUAUUAUACUGAAUAGUGUCUUACAAUUUGGGUAAAACAGGAGAAGAAGCUGUCUUUUAUUGAUCCAUUUUCGACAAGCACUUGAAGACAUUUGCAUAGAUGAAGUUGGAUUGUAGAAGCAUUAAUCAGGCUUCUGCCACUUUACUGAUUAUUUCAGGGCUACUAAAGAGAGUUAAUCUCAACAUUCAGUUUUUUGUUUGUUUGGUUUCGUUUUUGAGUGUUUAAUUUCUUUUCAUUUUUGGCUUUUUUAGUGUAUGGAUUUGGUUUGAAGAGAAUUGUUUUUGGGAUUCAAUGCAUAAAUGAUGUUGUUAAUGUGUUAAUUAAUUUUUCUGCAGUAUGUUAUCUUGCUUAUCCACAUUUAAGAUAAUGUUUUAUGUAAUAUGUUACUGUUGAAUCUGAUUAUCUCCCCAGACAACUAACUUGAUGAACUUAAAGACUAUUAAUAGCUCGAUAUGGAGAAACUCUACAAGUUGGAAAACAUGGUGAAUAACUCCCACUUCCGAUGAACACCCUAAAGAGCAUAACUGUCUAAAUGAUUUCGAUAUAGGGACUUCUUUAAGCUAACCAGAUGGAUCCCUCUUUGAUCCCUCUUCUGUUUACUUAAAUGCUGCAUCACAUUCAUUUCACGCUAGUAACUAAUAUCAAGAUUGCAUAAUGGCAGAACUGACACUAAAUUCCACUACAGAAUAAAAAAACAGAAAGACGAUGACACACAUCAAUUUUUCACAAGAGGCAGUUGACAAAGUACAUAUAUCUUAGAUCCUGAAUAGCAAAAAAAGUUUUGAAGCUGCGUUAAAGUGUUUUCUAUUGUCUUGCUCUCUUUUUCUUAUAUCUUGUUUUGGUUUCUUUGAGAUGAGAAAAGAAAUUAAAAUCCAUAAAAUGUAGAUGCUCAUGGUUAACAAUAAAACUUCUAAAUCAUAUUUUUUAUGAAGGAAAAAAAUGUCACAGUUCACUUCCAGUAAUUUCCAGCAAAUUACUCAAUUCGUCAAACGAAUCCAUAAAGCAACACAUAGUUUAGACAUCAAAACCCAACUUCAUAAUAUACCUUUUCUGCACAAAGUGCCAAUUUGCUGUGUCAUGUCAUGUUUCACUUUCUGUUCCUGUUGCUUUUCUCAACCUAUGAAUACUUGUCUAUCUAAUAAUGUGGGUGAUACUUGUAAGACAACUCCCAAGUGUGAUAUCAAUGUUACACAUAGUUAGAGACUUAUACCCCAUCCUAUUUUCCCUCAUCUAUAAAUGCUUCUCAUUCAGAUAAUAAAAGGAGUCUGUUCUCACUCUAAUUCUCAGUCUGUUAAUUGUUCUUCUCAUGGAGAUUGUGUAGACUCUUUGUGGCAUAACAGAUUGGGACAUGAUCCUUUUGUGAAAACGAGGAGAUGUCUUCCAUACCAGCCCAUUUUGCACCUAAGCAACCAUUUUUGUGCCAAAUCUGUCCCAUGGCAAGGCAAACCAAAUCACCAUUUCGACAAAAGUCCACAUCCUCUACCAACUGUUUGACCUACUGCACAUAGACAUUUGGGGACCAUACCACUUACCCACACAUGAAAACCACAAAUAUUUUGUGACUCUUAAGUUAAUUCAUGCAAGAUUCCAGAGAACCUCACCUCAAAGUUGCAAUGCAUGUUCUCGAUGUUUGAAGACUGAUACUACCCUGGAAAUUUUCAUGUCAAAAACUCCUGAUUUUAGUCUAAGAGCUUACUGUACCUCAGAUUGGGCCUCCUGCCCAGAUUCCAGAUUCUAGAAGGUCAGUUAGUGGUUAUAUUGUGAUGCUUGGCAACAACCCUAUCAGUUGGAAAUCCAAGAAACAAGCUACAAUCUCCCUUUCUUCUGCUGAGGCAGAGUAGAGGUCUAUCAGAAUAGAGGUUCGAGAGUUAAUUUAGCUCAGAAGAGUAUUCACAAAACUCAAUGUUCCUUGCAUUACUCCUACUCCUGUAUAUUGUGAUAGCCAAGCAGCAAUUCAUAUAGCCAGAAAUCAUGUUUUUUCAUAAGCGUGCAAAACACAUAGAGGUAGAUUGUCACUUUGUUAGAAAUAAUCUGCAGGAUGGGAUCAUUACUCUUCACGAUAUCUCCACUACUGAACAGUUAGUUGAUGUAUUAACCAAAUCGUUAAAAGGGAUCAAGCACAUUGCCAUUCUAGGCAAGUUGGCAGUGAAUUCUUCCCCUCCAACUUGAAGGGGAUGUUGAGAUUGAUUAGUUAGUUAGUUGGUGGUAGUGGUAGUCCUUGUAUUAGCUAUCAACAGUAGUAUUUAAUUAGUUAGAAGGGUCAAGUCAGUUAGUUAGGAAGGGUAUAUUUGUCAUUUCCAUAACUAAUUAGCUACACAGUGUUGUGUGUGUGUGUAUAUAUAUAUAUAUCUUAGAGCCUGUUUGGAUUGACUUUUGGCUUUUGAUUAUUUUUUUAUCAUUUGAGCUUAAAAUCAAAUGCUUAUAAGUGGUAUUUUAAUUUACCCAAACACUAGAAAAAGUGCUUAAAGCUCUAAGCCUCGUUAUGAGAACUGACGCUUUCUAACUCUCUACGAGAAGUGAAAGCCACUUAACUAUAAGGAGAGGAGCUCCACCAGUACAACAAUUAAAGCCCCUCACUCCACUCAUUUUUGAACUUCUAAUCAGACGCGAAAGAUAUUUCUUUCAAUUCUCUCUUCAAGCUUCAAUGGAAGCUCAAUUCAGCUCACAAAUGGAGCUUUCACUUGAUUUCUGACAAUAAUUUUUACACCAAGAUUGGGCAUAUAAAUUAGACAACAAAACCCAAUUAAAUAUGCUUGAAAUGAAAACCCACAAUUACUUAAGUUAUCAUAUCACAAUUUCAUCCCUAACUCAAUUGUACUUCAUUCAUAAGAAGAUUAUAAGCUAAAUUCACAGUUGGGGGUUCAAUUCUUACCUCAUAUAGGUGAAAAUCCACGAAUUAUGGUUCUUUCGAGAAAUAUGAAUUUCAGUGUACUCACUGGUCCUCGAUCCUGGAAGAAGCC